Molecule: long non-coding RNA, 44450 nt
Filed under: Olea europaea (common olive)
Lineage: Eukaryota; Viridiplantae; Streptophyta; Magnoliopsida; Lamiales; Oleaceae
Description: long non-coding RNA (OEUR_LNC008116)
Source: RNAcentral
CACCACCACCCUCUACUUAUUUUGCCUUAUCAUUACGGAUGUUAAAUGUCGAGUCUUGUACACCGUCUGGCUCGGCUAGACUCACCAUGCAAGCUAGAUUGCAAAUGCAUAGGCAAGCCAAGCCGGCUCCUAUCAACCGAAAAAUUACAUUUUCACUCCUCUAUGUCAAAUCGAGUGGCUCAUUCAAGAUUUUCACAGUUCAACUUGCAUCGUGAUUCACCUCAAACAUGAACUGAUCUAACUCAGCUCAUUUGUGAGCGUGCCAAGUUGAACCGACGAGCAACUCGAUAUGCUUAACACAACUACCAUCACUUACAAGAUCACGAUGAAAAGUCUGUAUGUGGCCCAUUUUUAUAAAGAACAGGUGUUCCAAACAGAAAAGGGGAGAAGAGGAAAGCACAUGGGUGGUAAUAAGUUCAAGAAAAUCCACGUGAUCACAUGUGCUGCCUUCGUUAUUAUUAUUAUUUUUUUUUUGACAAUGGGACCCCUUUUUACAACCUGCGACCCUAUCGGCCGGUUUUCCCUACACCCUAUCGACAAUCUCCGUUCCGUUCUCACUCUCAUUUGCCCGCACGUGUCAUCAACGCUCUUUUCUUAUGGCUAAAGAAAAAAACUCUUAUUUUCUUGAUAAUCAGCUUUUCAUUUGAUUAAGGAAAAAUCAUAGGACCCCAUAGGCUUUUGACGUUGAUUAGGCAGUCCUAUAACAUCAAAUUUACACAAGUAUCUUGCAACUCUAUUAUAUUGACUAAUAUUAAAUUUCAAUUAUAAGUACAAUCCCAUAAGAAUUAAUUCCCGUAUGAUUUUCUUGAAGUCAAUUUUUAUCUCGGACGAUGUCCUUUGAUCCAAUGUUCAAUUGAGUUACUAUACUUUAAUCUUGCGUCAAAAUAAUUUAGCCCCUAUUUGAUUCGCUAUUAUCUAGUCAAAGCAAUGUUUUGAAUAAUAACUUUGAAGAGAAUGCAUUGUUAAAAAGUAGAAAUUUUUUUAAAUUUAUGUGCAAAUUAUUUUAUUGUUUGAAUGUUUAGUUAAAAAUGAGUAUAUAUAAAACAAAGUUUUCAAAUAAUGAUCUUCAAAUAGGGACUUAAUUUUGUUUUAAUUUUCGUCACAUUGUCUGAUGUUACGUGCUGAGGUGGCCAUAAAAAAUGACCCGAAAACAAUGAGGCAAUCGAAAAAUGUACAAAAGUAAAUUAUUUUCAAUCCACGAUUCUAAGACGUAAAAUUGAAGUUUUCAAUUAUAAGUUGGUAAUUAAGUGGUAAAUUAAGCGCGUUUAUGUGAUUCCCACAUAAAUCCGUAAUCAGGGCGUUGGGAAACCAAAUCCCUAAAGUUGGUAGGCCCAGCUGUGUUGGCUUUGACAUUUAUACGACUCAAAAUACAUUAAUUUAACACCAUGCACCACCUCUACGACCACCAACGCCACCUCCUCCUCCUCUCUACAAUUUCAUGGAAAGUUCUAAUAGCAAUAUUAGUAAUUGUGCAGCAGAACCAGAAACCAUAGCCACAUUAUCAAGAAAGGAACAGACAAAUCAAGAAAUGGUUCAAGAAUCUAACAAAUCCACCAUCCGCCGCAUGCGGCAACCGGAUGGCCAUAGAAGAAGCACAACAAACGAAACCCAGGUGAAAAUCAUCUGUGCCGGCGACGAAGAAAGUAGUGGUGGCGGAGAAGACUCCGAUGAGAAAGCUGAGGUUGAGAAAAAGAUCGUGGCUUUGCAGAAAAUAGUGCCGGGAGGAGAGUCGCUUUUUGCAGACAAACUGUUUGAAGAAACUGCUGAAUACAUAUUGACGUUGCAAGAUCAAAUUAAAGUCUUGAGAUUUUUUGCUUCAUUUGUUGAAGGUCCUGAGAUAGAGAAGAGAAAGCUUGGUGGUUAGCAAUGGUAUUAGCGGCAUCUCGAAAAUGUUCGGACGGAAAUAUGGCUUUUAAAUUAAGCUACGAAUUAAGUCGAUGCUGUCAAAGGGAGUCACGAUGCCAUGUGCAAAAGGAAAAGACUUGUAAAACGGUUCUUGAUGCUUUCAUGUUUAUUUCUUGUUCUUUCUUCAAAUUUUUUCUCUUGAUUUUCUUUUUUUUUUUUUUGGGUAUUAGGGUCAAGAUUUAGCUUUUUUUGAUAAUUUUUUUAAGUUAAAUGUUUAAUUUGGAUAAAUUUCCUUUAAGGGAGAUGUAGAAUUGUGAUUAAUUGCUUAGUUCAUGCUAUUGCUUUGAAGCAAUGUUUGUAGGAUUUUUUUAUUUUUUUUCCUCUUGAAUGCAUCUAGCUAUUUUGCGUUCUCAGGGCAUGUUUGAUGUAUGAUAUUUUAGCCCCGUUUGUUUCUCAUUUUUUGCUUGUUAAAAUGAAAAAUAUGACCGUUAUCCAUCACGUCAAACCACCAUUUUUGACUUCUAUAUUUUGUAUGGGACUCGUAACGGCUAUAUUUUUUAUUCUCAUUUUUACAUUAAUGUGUACCAAACGAAGCCCUUUGAGAAUAAAUUUUGUGAAAAGUCUUUUUUUUUGUUGGGGGCGGGGGGAAUGCAUGCUUAAAAAUGAUAGAGAAAAGAUUUGCAUUAAUGCUAAAAAUUAUUUUAUUAAGAAAAUGUAUGAUAGAAAAUGAUUUUGAGAAAAAAUAAAUUUUAGAAAAUCUGUAUCGGACGUGACAAAAAAAUCUUGUAAUAUCAGUUGCCAAUAUCCUUUGGAGUUUUGUUACCACUAUUUCAAUGUACGGAAUUGUUCUACAAUAUCUAUGUAGUCUUGAUUAAAAAAAAAAAUAAUAAUAGAGAGAGAGAGAGAAAAUCAUUAAUUUUAUUCUUUAUUCAUGUUACGUUGGAUCCUCUAUUUCACUGUAAUAAUAAAAUUUCAAUAUAUGAAGUAAAGUGUUUGGCUAUGUUCGGAGGCUGAAUUUAGACUAUGAUGGAUUUUUGUAGGACUUAAUUCCUUUUUUAAGUUUGAGUGGGCAAGCAUUACGAUAGGUAUUGGUCUUCAAGACAAGAAAAUAUUAUUAUGUCAAACAAAAAUUCCCACUCUUCAACGUACAUGUCUAAAUUGCGACUAAUAGCAGAUUUUAGAUUUGGAAUUUGGGGGUAAUGCUGCGUGGUGGUGGAUUUUAGAUUUGAGUAGAGUAAAAGAAACAGCUAUGGCAAAGUUGAUAGUCAUCGUGACGACAUGUGGUGGAAGAUUGUGCUACGCUUACCCAACAAUUUAUAUAAUGGUGUACCAACAGAUGAUAUGAAGGGAUUUAAUUGGAUCAAAAUUUCAUCAAUCAAAUAACUUUCGCACUUACAUGUUGAUACCUCAUCAUUAUGUAAAAUAUUAUAUAAAUAGUUAUGUAGAAGAAAUAUUUUCCUUAAAAAGAAUGGAAAGUAUUUGUGGAACUGCCUUUAUAGACCAAAGGGAACUUCCCUGCAAUCCAAGUAAGACAAUAAUUAGGAGGGUAUUUCUAUUUACACCAUAAUUUGAAGUGUUCCUUGAAAACGUAACUCAAAACAUAUUAUUUGGGACAUUUAGUGAAAGAUUUAUGUCAGACGCGUCUCUAGGCGUUAGUCUAAAAUAGGUUUGUAGAAUAACUAAUGCUACUCAAACAGGGGGCUGUGACAGAGAUUUCAACAGGGGCUAAGGUGCGUAGCAUAUUUCUUGUAAAAUGACUACACUAGCUUCAAUGCCUUCCAUCCGUCUAUAAGAAUCUCUUUUGCCGAUCUAAUUAUCAUGUAUUGAAUAAUGCUCCUCGAAGGGAACUUCCCUGCAAUCCAAAUGAAUUGCCAUUUGAGCCAAGGAAUAGACUUCGACGAAAAUGCAUCAAUUCUUGUUGAGUGACCAGCUUAUUGGGAUGUAUAACACCAGAGUCCUACUCACCAACGGCAUAGAUUGCAUUUAAAGUGAAGCUUUUAGAAUUUUUGGUAGAAAAAGAUCACAAAUGUUGUUUGGUUGUUCCUGCAUAAGAUUAUACAACAUACUUUUGCUGAUUUGCUUCUGAUUCUCGGAGUUCAUGUCAUUUGUCUAGGUAACUUUCCUGAACACAUUCAUGGUACGAGUUCAUUAGGAGAAAGAAAGUUCUCAUUCUAGUUAUAGUUGUUGUAGGUUAUCCAAGUUGCAGCUCCAAUGAUGAACUAGGUAGACUGUGACCUUGGCUACAAAAUUUGUUAUGAUUGUGUUGGGGAAUUGUCAACGACCUUAUCUGAUAAAGCUCCUGUUUGGUCCUUAUUUUUUUUCUCAAACUCAUUUUAAAUUAUUCAUUUUAUGAAACCCACAAUUUUUAUCAACUUUUUAACCAUACAUUAGUUCAGUUUUCAUUGAAAUUUACUAAAAAUCUGAUUUUAAUCAAGAUCAAACAGGGGCAAAAUUUGUGGCAUUUGCUUUUCCCAUCCUCAUAGAGUCAUAAGCUUUGAGGAGGAACAAUCUUCUAGUGGAAGAAUUCAUUUAAAUUUGAGUCGUAAGUGUUUGUUAUAUGGUAUAAUUUCUGCGGGGUUGGUGUGGAUGCUAAAUUGUACGUUUUUGUGGGUGGACAAAGAUAAGUUUGUGUAGAGAACUUUGAAUCUCAAUUAAGGAGCUACUAAUAGGCAAACAAAUCUAACGUAUUUUACAUAUUGAUUCGAUUAUUUAGAUCCAUAUACUUUCUUAGAGGAACUUGUAUUGCUUGCAUUCACGAGGGACACCUUGAGGAAAACGUCUCAAGUCUGUGCAGUAAUUGUAGAUCAUGUAGUUCUUUUGCACCCAUUUUAGCUUCUUUCGAUCAUUAACAUCAAGUUCUUGAUACAUCCAUCCAUUGAUGGGCAAGGGUUUGGUAGAAACACAAGAUGUCGAUGGCCAAACGCAAGCAUUGGCAUUGAAGUUCCUAUAUGUAGCCGUAAAAGGUGCUUUUGUCCAGUCGGUCUUAACUUUCCCUCCUUGUGUUGCCCAGUCAUCGGCGUUCCAAAGGCUAGAAUAGAGUCUCAUAGGUUGGCGUUUUGGGUACGGGACACCAAUAGCUUCAUUGUUGUUGAAUACUCUUAUUGGAAUGUUAUCCACCAUGAAGCUGAAAUAUGGACAAGAAAAUGAAGUACAUGUGAGAAAAUCAUAGAUUAAAAUAUAUAUUGUUGUCACUUUUAGCAUUGACUGAAUUAAAGACCAAAGAGUUUCAUGUACAUAAUGCGCCGAGGAUUCCAGAUAAUGGAGUACUGGUGGAAGGCAAUUGAAGGGUUGAACCACAGAUGAAAUUGUUGUUCUCUGUUCCCUUUACCCUGUGUAUAUAUAUUUGUAUGGACUGUGUAAGGUUGUCCUGAUGAGUUUCCCAAGAACUCAAAAUCAAUUUCGUCGUGUGCUGUUCCUUGAGAAGAUAACUACAUGAAAAAGGCGAAUUUAGAGUGUCAAAUAUCAUUUACCGUGCGUGAAUAAACAAUACUAAGUUUUGAGUUUCAUACAUAGUACGUAGUUACAGUUCCAGCUGAAUUUCCAGGUACAAGUUUGAGUUGCAUAUCAACCCUGCCGAAUAAAUAUUGAUUCUUGGACUGAAAACCUGAGCCUGAAAACUUGUCCAGUGACAGAGUAAGAAGUUGGCCUCCAUCGAGUAUCUUAGCUCGUUGACCACCCCAAGUGACGUCUAUAUGUUGGUAGAAAUUUCCGGCCGAAGCAGUCAUAAGAUAAGCUACGACUAGAGAAAGUAGAAAAAUAUUCGUGACCAUUUGAGAAGAUAGCGACAUAUUCUUAUUCAAGUAUAUAUAUUGCUACAAAACUAGGAAAUGUGAUAUCUGAAUUUGCUGAUGCAAGUUUGAAAUGCUUUAUAUAGGCAGCAAGAAGCUGUUAGGAAAGUGAAAUUCAAGUUGCGUUUUCUCAAGUUGUUUUUGAUACUAAAGGCAUUAGCUGGCAAUUGUGAGUUCCUUCAAAACUGGUGGCUUUGGUUAGGUUCUCUUUGAAAUCUGAUUGUCUGCCACUUUUGAUACUCUUAUUCUCGCUUUCUCAUAACACACUCACAAUUCUUUCAAUUACUCGAUUCACUUUUCCGCUCUCAUAAUAUUCGACUUAAUUUCAUUCUUAAUCUUGUUAACCAUUCCAUAUAAAAGUCGCAAAGUCACGUGCACUAAUUUAAAUAUUGUCUUCAAUACAUCUUUUCACAUGUAGACUGAAUUGUGACCGUCAUGUUAUGAGCAACUAUGUUACUUAUUUUAGUACAAUAAUUAAUUAACUAGGCUUUAAAUAGUUAGCCUGAAAACACACACACACACACACACAUAUAUAUAUAUAUAUAUGUGCAUAAUGUGCACCAGGUAAUGUACAACUGGCUAAUUUAUUUGCCUAGUUGGAAUGUGAGAAAUAACAAAAUAUAUGUAUGUGGCCCUUCCCCUUUUAGGCCUCCCCUAGUACAAUUUGACAAGGCACACGUGAGUUUAUGUAAUAUAUAAAGGGUCAAUUUGAAGGGAUUUCUGCGUUUUGUAAAAGAAUUUCUAGAUUUUACCUGAACAAAGUGCUUUCAGAAAAUUACUCGAACACGUUCAAAAGUAGUUAUUAAUUUUAUAAACAUCUUUUUACUUUAUAAAAGCCAUGUCAAUAAAAUUACGUAGAACUUUUCAAAUUCUUGGCAACUUCGAUGGUCACGUGAAAUUGUAGUUGUAAAUAUUUUUUGGCUAACGAUGAGAGGAUGCAGUUAACGUCAGACCAGAUGCAUCCUGUCACAGGCUUCCCACAUAGUCAAAACCUUUUGGAGAUUAGUCUCUUGGCCUUAUCCUGUAGUAAGGGAUUUUAAUAAAUGCACCAAAAGGAAAACGUUUUUGUAGUAGAGUUCUAAAAUAAUUACGUAAAAACAUUUUAGAGUAAUAGCGACUUUCUUUUUAUAAAUAGAUAGUCGAAUCUCGACUAUAAAUUAUUAAGAAUGAUCAAAAUUUUUUGUGAUUUCUGCUUUAAAAUUUGAGCUCGUGGAUCAUGUGUUUCUAUCUAAUAUUACGUACUAAACAUGUCUUUCUACCGUCGAGAAUUUUGGAAUUUUAUAAGCAUAAAGCACGAGUAUAUUGCAUACUAUAUUCCCAACUCUUUACAGUUGUUUAUUACCAGGCAUCCUCCACUUUUGGUUACCUUUCUCAUCUCCAAGUGGGUAUUAACUUUUUAUCAAAUUUUUUAAAAAAAUAAAAAAAUUGCCACUAGAAACCUGAAAACAGUAACUAGUGGCCUGAGUUUGUAGUUGAUUUUGAUCAUUUUAAUACAAGUUAUAUUAACAGAUUUGUGACUAAACAAUCAUUGAUAAUUGUUAAGAGCAGGUUCAACUCGUUAAAUGAUUUUACAACAAAAAUCGCAGAAUAUAAAUGUCCAAGAAACAAAAGAAAAGGAAAAAAACACAAAAUUUUUCACCCUAAGAUAAGAGGUUCAGAGCAAGCUCCUAAUCUCCUUUUGUGUUUCCACCACCGGAAGAAAUUAUUGCAUUAAUCCAGAACCAAUAAACUAUCCAAAUAUUACACAUUCAAGACUCAAACCAGAAAACAUUCGAGAUUACAAAAAGCUCUCACAAAUCGCCUGGACAAUUCACUCAAGAACCCCAGACUUGAAAUCUACUAGUAUACUAAUCACUCAAGACAAAUGAUAGGUUCCACAUCACUCAAAACGCAGUCAGCAAUAGGUUCCACAUCAUUGUGCCAUCUCCUCACAAUAAUAGUCAUUGUAAAGGUAUAUAUGCAUAAAACAAUAACAUAAGGCACGGAAAAUGAGUUGGUGAAGAACUAUCACCUGUACCAAGGGAAAUUCCUUUUGGCGAUUUUUGCAAAUGAAGGUCUUUAUCUUGCAUUUUUUUAUUGUAAAUGUACAAUAUCAUAACAAGUAAUAUAAUGGACUUUUGAGUCUAGAUUAGUGUUCCUACGAGGACUAUACUUCAUAUUUAAUUUACUAUUUGUAACUUCUAUUUGACGAAAAUAAACAAAAGUUGUAAUUUAUUGUGAUUUUUUAUCUAACUACGUGAAAAUAGGAGAAAGUACACAAAGAUCGAUUUAGAAUUCAAAUAUGGAAUGGAUAUUAGGGCAUAACAAUUUCAUCUAUUUAUCACAUUUAAGUCUUAAUUCAAGAUUCAUAAAUCUAAUGUAGUAUUCGAUCGAAUUUCUCUAUUAUAUUUAAUUUGCUCAUCUCGAGUUCUCAUUGAGUCUAUUUAAAUUGUGAAACGGAUUACCAUAUAUUGUGCGUAAUCAUGAACGAGUUAUAGUCGCAUGCUUUUGAGUAAUCCCAUAUCUCUAGAAUAUUGAAUAAAAGAAAUAAACGGUCUCAAAAGAUUACACUUUUUGCCAUAAUGAAAGAAUUAGCUACUCAUAAUAAUAGAAAAAAGAUAAAAGAUUUGCAUUGAAUACAUCACUGGAUUUUGAAUUGAGAUGUAAAGAAGUGGACGAAUCUUGUACAAAGUUCAUCUUCUUGUUCCAAACCUUGAUUCGUAACCUUUGAUUUCAUGUUUUUCUCCUUUAAUUUUUCUCUAUAAGUCUCCAAGCUGUGUUCUAUAUCUCUCAAUGUGUGGAACUACCCUCAAGUACUACAUUUUUUGCAUUUAUAGUUGCUUACAAGGUUUUCCCCGAAUUUAGAGUUUUUAUGGGCAUUAAAAAGGCCAAAAUCCACGCCCUAGGUAUGCAUGUGGCACCGCGGUGACACAACUCUGUACUGAGCAAUUGCGCCACCUUUUGGGUAAAAAUAAGCACUACGCAUCUUUCAAUAUUUUUAUCAUAAUUUUCUCUCUAAAUAUCUUAUUGAGGCAAUUCAAAUUGGGUUGUAAAGAUAACUCAAAUAACUAUAAGUUUAUUAGAAUUAGAUCUUUUCCAAUUCGAAUAAGAUCUGGCUAAAAAUUUGGAACAUCAUUAUGUGGUUAAAAUUUGAUUUGUGAAAAUAUUUUGGUCAUUUUCGCUCAUUUUGACUUCUAAUUGCAUCUAAUUGACCCCUAACAUUCUGAAUCUUUAUAGUGAAGUUUGAUAUAACUUGAGCAUUUACACUUUAGUCCACAAACUUUGGACCUUGUCCUUUUUCUUCUCCUUCUGCAUUAAUUAAAACCACAUCACCAAACCUAUAAUACAACACUAAUAAAAGCGUUGAAAACUUUCAAUACUAUAAAAUCUAGCUACCAAUCAAGUUAAAAUAGUAUAAAACUCGUGAGUUAAACACACGCAUCAAUCUACUUUUGCUAAUGGAUAUUCCAUUUUUCUUUAUUAUCAACUGAUAAAUUAUCUGCUGAUGAAAAGUUAAUUUUUAGCAAUGUUUGGACAUUUAAUUAUGGGACAUUAUCUCACUAUCAGACCUUCCACGACAUCAACUUAACGAGCCACAAACUCAUCCUUCAUUAUAAUAAGGCUAUCCAUGUUUGCUUCUGGUUUCUCCAUUAGAUCAUGCAAAUGAUAGUGCCAGGAAUAGCAUAUGUUGUGCUUUUGAGACAUUCUCGACUCUUACGAUAUAAAAUAAGUUUGGUUAUUCGUACAUUGUCGCAAGAAAUGGUGUUUGGUUAUUUGUACAUUGUCACAAGAAAUGGUGCAUGUUUCAUCUCUUCCCACUAGUGGAGAAUGUAGUUCGGCUUAGAACAUCAAAACUUUUGACAUCUGCAAAUAUCGCACAUCUGAGUAAUUGAUUGGGAAUUCAUGUUGCUGACAUUGACGCAAUAUAUAGAAACAUGAACGAUAAUAACAAGGAAUGCCCAUUUGAUAAUCAAAGAUCUAACGUACUACCAUUUGGUUUCGAGGUUCAAAUGUACUGUUAGGAGUUGACAUGUGAGACUUUUGAUUCACGAAUCGGGAACCUAUCUCCACAAGAAACUCCUUAAUUUGUUCCAAUUCAAGGACUUCUCUCGUUCUAUGUUUUCUCCACUGGAGAUGAAAACGAGAUCAAGGGCGGAGCAAGAAAAUGAUGCUAGGAUAGGCUAAAAUUUAAAUUUUUUUGAAUGAACUUACGUCACAAGAAAUCGAGUUUCGGAAUCUAUUUUCAUAACAUUCACCAUAAAAAGUAUACGACACUCAAUAAAAUAAAAUAAAUUUUGGAUAUCUCACAUCUUAAUAUUCCACUAAAUCUUUGUAUUUUUUUAUCAAAUAGAAAAUCAACACUAACCUUAAAAAAUAUAAACUAACCAAAUUAUAAUAUAAAUAAGCAAAAAUACAUAUCCACCAACGAAAAUUUAAAAAAUUACUCAAUGAGUACUCUUCUAAUAACUUUGACAAUAAAUCUUUCCAAACAGCUGAAAGUUUGUACAAAUAUUCUUUUUAUUGUCAAUAUCAAAUCUGUAGUAAGUCAUUUAUUUUGAUCAUAACAUCUAUUUUUGGUCAAAAUAAGUAUUUUUUUUUUAUAAAUAUUAAUUAGUAAUAAAUAAAAUCAUAUGUAGUAAUAAAAAAAAUUAAUUAAUUUUAUAUUUAGAAAAAUAUGUAGUGUCUCUAUCUAUUAAAAGAAGUAAUUUACUUUUAGAUCUAAUCAAUAGAAAUUAUCUAUAAUAAAAUUUACUUAAUAGUUAUAAGUAAAUUUUAGUCAAAUAUGCAUUAAAUACAAUAUCUAAUUUGACAAUAAAAUAUUCAUAUUUCAUGAAUGCCAUGAAAAGAGUAAUUAAUAAUUAUAGUGUCUUUAAUUCAAUUUGAACAUUUGAGCAUUGGAAUAGGAUUGAGAUUUAAACUAGAGCUGGGCUAAUGUUAAUAUUUGGCCCAAAAGUCUACAAUUCUUCUUAAAUAUUUAUAUGGGCUGGGGGGGACAAUGCUGGGCUACAGCUCAAGAAUGCCCCCCUCUAUCUCCGCCUUUGGACGAGAUAAACUUAAGUUGCCAUCCUCUCACAUCCUGCAUUAGAGCCAAAGAAGCAUCGACCCAGCAUUAAAAAAUGGGCUUUAUUCACUCGUUGUGCUCGGCUAGUUCUCAUUUCUCAUCUCGAACCAGAAAAACUCAGAACAUUAGGAAGAUAAGGGAAGAUCACUUGAAAGAACCGACUACCACAACUCCAUUAUAUUUAUUUAUUUAUUUAUUUUUGCUGGAAAAAGCCACUUAACGAUUUUGCCUAAAACCCCCCAAAUUGUUCACCUCUCAUUACAUUUGAUUUUUGAUCAUCAAGUUCGCGUGAAGAACUGCUAAAAAUUUUAUUAAUAAAAAACAUCAAGAAUAAAUCAAGCAUUUUUUCCUUUUAUUCCAAUCAAUACAUUCUCACUGGACUAAAACGAAUAAGAAAUGAAGAAUUCAAAUAAAUACAGAAUUAAUCACACAACAAUAAUGAAACAAGGGAUCGCUUCUCCACAAUUUUCCUAGAAUCUUGAACGCUUGCAUUCUUCAGAGAAGCCUUGAGGAAACCUUUGAACAUCUGCACAAUAGUUAUAGACCAUGUGGUUCUGUUGUACCCAACGGAGCCUAUUUCUUCCCUUCGCAUCAAGUUCCUGAGUUUGCCAUUCCCUGGAAUUGGCACAAGAUCCACCAGAUGUUUUUGAUACACAACCAUUAGCAUUGAAGUUCCUGUAAUAUGCAGUGAAAGGUGCUUUUGUCCAGUCUGUCUUCACCCUCCCACCUUGGGUUGCCCAAUCGUCUGCGUUCCACAAGCUGCAGUGUACUCUCAUGGGUUGGCUACUAGGAAAUGGAAUGCCAAUUGCUUCGUGAUUGUUGAAUACUCUGAUAGGACUAUUGUCCACCAAGAAACUGAAAUUCAACAAGAGAAUUAGUAUUAAUUUUCAGAAUAGUUUGAGGAUUAACGAAACUGAUUUGAGGAAUUUUCAAUUACAUGAUGCGCCGAUGAUUCCACACAAUUGAGUAGGUGUGGAAAGAUGCCGUUGGAUCAAACCAAAGAUGGAAUUGUUGUUCCUUGUUUCCUUUUCCAUGAGAAUACACAUUGGUAUGAACAGUGUAUGGCUGUCCAGAUGCAUUGCCAAGAAACUCAAAAUCGAUUUCAUCAUGACCAGCUCCUUGGGACGAUAAGUGGAAAUGGAAUGAAACAACUUAACGAUUAAUUAUACAACAAAAAAUUUAAUAAUUGUUUAAGUAAGUUUGGUGUCAGCUCCUGAAGAAGAACUGAUGAAGACUUACGAAAAAUGUGGUUACGGUUCCAGCAGAGUUUCCAGGAACAAGUUUGAGUUGCAUAUCAAACCUUCCAAACAAGUACUCAUUCUUUGACUGAAAUCCAGAACCGGAAUUUUGGUCUAGUGAAAGUGUCAACAUUCUUCCACCUUCGACUAUCUUCCCGCGCCCAUCACCCCAAGUAAUUUCAGCAUCUCUGAUGAAAUUACCAGCUAUAGGAAUAGUGAAACAGGCCAAGACCAAAGAAAGUGAAAGCAUGACUAAAUUUGCAAAAGCUUUAGAAUUAGAAAAGACUGCCAUUUUGAGAAGAAGAAAGAGAAGACUGUUUUUGACGAAUAAAAGCUGGGUUCAGAAAGCCCUUUAUAUAUCAUUUUACAAUCGUUUUUGGAGGUGGAGUGGGGCUGGGGGCUGGAAACUAAGCUGGACACCAUGGACUGAAAGUUGCCAAAGAUUAAUUGAACAAAAUGAAGACAGAAUAAUUUUUCCGCGUAAAGUAUGAACCUUUAAUUAUCUCUGGCAUGGGUCCAACCGACAUCUGUAUGUACCAACCAACACUCAUGAAAAUAAUUAAUAUGCAGCUUAACCAAAAAUUAGAAUACAAAAUUAAAUAUUGCAGAUGAUUCUUAAAACUCAUUGUGCAGCAUAAUUGUCUUUUUAUAAAGAUUAAUAAUUUUGUAGGGCUCAUAUUUAUUACUUUCAUAAGAUUCCAUGCACCUUCUUGCCGAGGUAAUCCUGAAAACAGCAAGGUAUAUAUGAUGAUAUUCUUAGGUAAAAUUGCAAAAAAAUUUGGAUCUCUUACGUUUUGGUCAUUUCAUCCAAUUUCGCUAGCUUUUGCCUAUUUCCUUCCUUUAACCUCUUUUAGCUCUUGUUUUCUCCACUUACAUCAAUCUACAAAACAACACCAAAAUCACUUGUUAGCACUUCUAAAAUGCUCUCCAAAAUAGCAAAAUUAUGAAAUUAAUGGCAUAAUAUAAUGAGUUUAAAUCACUCAUCAGUGACAUUUUCUAUCAUUGAUGACGAAAAAAAUUUUAGAAAGAAAUCGUUGGUGUAGUUGCAAUAAUUGUGGAUUAUGAUUUCUAUGAAUACACUUGUACGAAUACUAUUUGCAAACCUUGAGAGGGGUAGAGUAGAUAAGCGGUGGCAAAAUGGGCCUAGUCAUGCGUUCGAGGUGUAGUGGUGAUAAAAUGGGUUGGAUUGAGUUCUUUUGCGACAAUGCAUGUAUCAAAUUGUACAAACAAAUAUGUCGAGAAAAAUAAUUAACAGGAAGUAGGACUGCUUAUUAUUAUUAUUAUUUUAGCUGCAUAAAAGAAUAAGUGUAGGUUGAAGACUUUCUACGACUUGUGGAACUCCUAGAACUCACCUUUGGCCUUUACCCACAACCAAGCUUUAUGCGGCGUGCCGAGACAGCUGCUCUUGACCAUGCCUGGACACCCAAACCAGAAAUUAAGUAUGAUAGGAAAAACAUAGGUAGAUUAAUGUGUGUUUUCUGGCAAGUUGAAGAAUGAGAAUUGCUUGUCUUCGGCUGUCUUUAUUCGAAAUUUCCUCAAUUGCUAUAUUUGAUAGUGUGAGUGAAUUAGUUGACAUAUCUAGGGAUGGCAACGGGGUGGGGAUGGGCAAUUUUUAUCCCAUUUAAUUUUAUUAUUAUUAUUAUUAUUAUUAUUAUUAUUAUUAUUUUUUUUUUUUUUACAUUUUCAAAGUUUCAAGUUAUGUUAUUAUUAGAGAAUAAAAUACAAAUUCAAAAUGAGUUUUUAAUGGGUGAAUUGUCUAAAAAUAAAAUUAUUUUUAAUCUCCCCCCCCCCCCUUCAUGGGGCGGGUUCGGGUCUUUCGGUGUGGGGUUUUUUCCCCCAUUCGGGACGAGUUUUUUUCCCAUCACUAGACAUAUCAAACCUUAUGUGUUGCUUAGUGUUAGAGUAAGGUGACUUGAAUUCUGUUUGACACAGUGAAGCUCUCGGUGCAAAUACGUAGUGAAACUAAAUUUAUGAGGAAAAAAUGGGGUCUAGGGUAGAAGCGGAGCCCCACACUAUGGACUAUGUAUAUUAGGAUUUCAUAAUAUCAUAACAUUCGAAAGUAGUAGCACUACUUAUAAUCAUCUUUGGUAUAGUGAAUUUCCCCCGUAAUUUUUUCAUAUCUUGGAUUUUCAUGUAAAUCUCGUGUUUUUGUUCUUAAUUUUAUAUUGCAAAUUCUCGCUUUUCAUAACAAUUAGAUUGAUGAAAGAGUUGACAACUCCAAAGCAUAAUCCAUGUAAUUGCUCUAGGUAGUGGGAAACAGAAAAUAAGAAAUAGCACAAGAUUGAUAGUCUCUCCCUCUUCGCAUUAAGUGCAUCAAAUUUGUUUCUCAUUAUUACAAUCAAUAGACGACAAUACAUUUGAAUAAACAAAUAUAAGAAUCAAAUAAAUUCUAUAGACAUUUUAAUGACAAAAGAAGUGAAUAUGAAACAGUGCACAAUAUUGUUAGAAUCUUGAACGCUUGCAUUCUGCAGAGAAGCCUUGUGGAAACCUUGUAACAUCAGCGCAGUAGUUAUAAAUCAUGUGCUUUUGUUGUACCCAACGAAGUCUAUUUCUUCCCUUUGCAUCCAAUUCUUGAGUUUGCCAUGUCCCGGAAUUAGAGGAAUCAACGGACUUAGAAGCACAUGAUCCAACGUUCGAUCCAGAUGCACAGAUAUUACCAUUGACAUUGCAAUUCCUGUAAGAGGCAACAAAAGGAGCUUUCGUCCAAUCUGUCUUUAUUCUCCCACCUUGUGUCGCCCAAUCGUCUGCAUUCCAUAAGCUGCAGUAUACUCUCAUGGGCUGGUUUGUUGGGAAUGGAAUGCCAAUUGCUUGGUGGUUGUUGAAUACUCUGAUAGGAAUAUUGUCCACCAAGAAACUGAAAAUCAUCAAGAAGAGAAUUAGCAUGAUAUUCUGAUUGAUUGAGGAUCCGUGAAAAUGAGGUUUGAGGAGUUUGUAUAUUUACAUGAUGCGCUGAGAAUUUCACACGAUUAAGUAGGUGUGGAAAGCUGCAGCUGGAUCGAACCAGAGAUGGAAUUGUUGUUCUUUGUUUCCUUUUCCUUGGGAAUACACAUUGGUAUGAACUGUGUAUGGCUGUCCAGAUGCAUUUCCCAGAAACUCGAAAUCAAUUUCAUCGUGGCCAGGUCCUUGAGAGGCUAGCUGCACAACCAAAUAAACAAUUCAAUCAUGGAUGUAAAGAAAAUUAGAGAGGGGAUAUUCAUAUUCGGGUGCAGAUUACUUACGAAAAAUGUGGUUACAGUUCCAGCAGAGUCGCCAGAAACAAGUUUGAGUUGCAUGUCGAAUCUUCCAAACAGGUAUUCAUUCUUGGAUUGAAAUCCAGAACCGGAAUAUUGGUCGAGGGAGAGUGUUAGAAGCCUGCCACCCUCCUGUAUUUUACCCCGCCCAUCACCCCAGUUUAUAUCAACAUUCCUGUUGAAAUCACCAGCUGAAUGUGUCACAAGAGAUGCCAUGACAAUACAAACUAAAACAACUGCCAGAUUCGACAAAGCUCUUGAGUUAGUAGCCAUUUUUGUUGGCGAAAUAAAAACGUAGAUAGAGAGAGAGAAAGAGAGAGAACGUGUUUUUAUGAUGAAUGAAUUUGGAAAUGAAGUCUCCAUAUAUAUAUAUAUAUAUAUAUAGUUUGAGGGUGGAGUGUUGGGGGUGGGGGUGGGGGUUGACCUUGCUCCCAAGGAAGCUUCCACAAGAGUGAGGACAGUGAAUGUGUGCUGGUAUGGAAUUUUUAUAGGAGUUGGCCUAAGCUGGUUUCAGAAAUACAAGUUUACGCGUAAAUUAUGUCCCUUUGGAAACUUCCCAGGUUGAGACGGCCCAAUUGAUACCUAAAAUUUGUAUAUUAUUUGAAGCAAUAUAUUCAUCAGAAACUCUUUGUUUCCUUGAAAUUUCAUGCUGCCGCUCAAGAUAGUAAUUUACUUUUCCCUAACGUUCCAAAAUAAAUUAAUAAUUUAUUUCAAAACUUACUUUUUCUACAACAAUUAAUUCGUCGCUUGUAAACAAGUAAUGAUAACCGCAUAUUUUAUGAUUUUAAUAGUCGCCAAACUUGAAGGAAAAAUAAAAUAAAAUAAAAUAAUAAUAAUAAAUCCUCCCCCUCUCUAGCUCCUUAGUUUAAGAGAGGUCCCUGAUACAGGAGCCCGUAUCACUAAGCACCGAGCAUGUCUGCCCCCAACCUAUCACAGGGGGCCAAGCUGGCCCCUUAUGAUACAUGGCCCUGUUCUUGCAGCAGGGGCCUUAGUUUAAUUACUCGUUAUUGUUAUGUUUUAAAACUUAAAACAUUUGGAUUGAUCUUGGGAAAAACCAUUAAAGAAUUGCAGAAAUUAAAGAAAAUUAACACAAGAUAUGUUUUGCCCUUUUAAAAGGGCCCGGAUGUUCGGUUUUGCAACCUAAUUACCCGUUGAGCAUCUCUCACGAGAUUAAAUUCUAGAUCCACUAAUAACGAACAAGAACCGUGUACAAAUGUACGAAGAAAUUGGAAAUUUCUUCGAGCUUUUUCUUGCAUCUUGACACAACAACACAACACUGCUAUCACUCUCACAGGUUGCACAAAACAACCAUUUCUUUCUCUACACAAAUAACAGAAUAUUAUCAAUCACAAAGAUCGAUUUCAUCUAACACAGCCAAACCUUAGUUUUCACUCAGAAAACAAAGGACAGAGAGUAAGACGAAGAGACACAAAGAAUUCUCUAGAAUAUGAAUGAAAAAGCCAAGACCCAGUGUGUAAGUAUUUGUAUUCAUCCAAACAAUCAGAGGGCAGAGACUUAGCCACGUGUACGGCUAAUUUUAAUUCUCGAAGAGGCAUUUUGAUCAAAACACGAUUUUAUCAAACUUGAAAUAACCACAGCAAUCCGGUGGAGCAUUUAGCCCAAUUUAAAGAGGCCCACGAAGCCAAGAAUCAUGUGAGGCAACCCACAAAUAAUUAACAAUCUCCACAUUGCUGAACUGAUUCUUAUUCUUUACUAAAGGAUCUAGAUACUACAUCAACUUGAGUUCAUUUGCUCAAAGUACUUGUAAAAUGAAAAAUUAGUUAAACCUUAUCAACAUAAACUUAUUACAAGUUCUGAAUUUAUCAUAUCAUGUGACAUUCAGAAUUUUCAAAUAAUUCUUAAAUUUAUUUAGAGGCAACACCUUAGUGCCCAAGUCAUCAGGAUUAAAUUCUGUGGGAAUUUUAACCAACUUUAUCAAUCAUUUUUCUAUCAUAUUUUGUACAAAAUGAAAUUUUAUGUCUACAUGUUUAGUUCGAUCAUGAUAUAUAGGGUUUUUACUAAGGUGUAUGACACUUUGAUUAUCUGUAUAUAUACUAACAGAAUUGUUUGCAAAACCAAUUUCAUUAAUUAAGCCUCUCAGCCAAAUGUUUUCUUUAACAGCAUCACAUGCUGCAAUGUAUUCUGCUUCUGUAGAAGAUAAGACAACUAAUUUUUGCAACUGUGACUUCCACCUUAUACAGCCAUCACACAAAGUGAAAAUGUAAGAAGAAGUAGAUCUUCUUUUAUCUAAGUCACCAGCAAAAUCUGAGUCUGUAUAUCCUUUCAGUUUUAUCUCUUCAUUGCCCUUUUUGUACAUUAAUCCUAAAUCAGAUGAUCCUUUCAAGUACCUUAACAUCCAUUUCAUGGCAAGCCAAUGUGUUUCACCAGGAUUAGUCAUAAACCUACUUAAUACACUAAUUCCAUAUGCUAGGUCAGGCCUGGUGCAAACCAUGAGGUACAUUGUGGAACCUAUUGUGUUGGCAUAAGGUAUUUUCUCCAUUCUCCUUAGUUCAUCAUCUGUUUUAGGUGAUUGUUCAUUUGACAACUUAAAAUGAUUAGCAAUUGGAAGAGUGACAGGUUUACAUUCUAACAUAGAAAAUUUUUCAAGAAUUUUCUACACAUAGGACCCUUGUUUUAGUGUUAGUAUGUAGUUAUUCCUGUCUCUAUCUAUCUCCAUUCCAAGGAUUCUUUUAGCUUGUCCUAAAUCUUUCAUUUCGAAUUCUGAUUUUAACUUUGAUUUAUCAAAUUCAAUCUCAAUUUUAUCAUAACAAGCAAGCAACAUAUCAUCAACAUAAAAUAGGAGAUAUAUAGAUUCAGCUCCACCUAAACCUUCAUAGAACAAACAUGAAUCAUAGUUGCUUUUCACAAAGCCUAAAGUUUGCACAAAAGAAUUAAAUUUCAAAUACCAUUGUCUAAGGCCUUGUUUAAGCCCAUAAAGUGAUUUCUUUAACAGACAAACUUUAUCUAAUUUAGAUUUUACUUCAAAUCCUUUAGGUUGAUUCAUGUAUAUAAUCUCAUCAAGGUCACCAUUUAGAAAUGUUGUUUUAACAUCAAGUUGUUCUAAUUCCUAGUUAAAGUGAGUAGUUAGAGCCAAUAAGAUUCUGAUUGUAGUAUAUUUGGCAACUAGGGAAAAUAUUUCAUUGUAAUCCACUCCUUCCCUUUGAGUGAAACCUUUGGCCACAAGUCUGGCCUUAUACCUCUUAUUUUCUGUAUUUGAGUCACCUUCUUUUAUUUUAAAAAUCCAUUUACAGUCUACAACCUUUUGAUUUUUAGGUCUAUUAACUAAAAUCCAAGUUUUAUUUUUAACAAGUGAAUCCAUUUCCUCAUUCAUGGCUUCCUUCCAAAGCUUAGAAUCAGGACAUUUAAUGGCUUUAUCAAAGGAUGUAGGUUUUGAAUUUAAAGAAUCAAAAGCAGAAAAUAGAGUGACAAAUUCUUCACUAUUAAACCUGCUGGAGGGAAUUAUAAUUCUUCUUUCCCAAUCUCUAGUUAACUGGUAAUCAGUAAGAGUAUUAUAUGAUAUUUCAACUUCAUUUCAGAUUCAUCAUGCUCAUUACUUAUUUCAGAUUCAACAAGCUCCACCUCAAAAUUAUCAUCUUGAUUUACAGCAUUCUGUGUUUGAGUUUCCAUGAUGGUUUGUUUAACAGGUGCAUAUUCAAGAGUUCUAGGGUCUCCAGAUUUGAUACAAGGCAUGUCAUUUUCAUUAAAAAUUACAUCUCUGCUUAUUAUGACUUUAAAACCAUUUUGUUCUUUAACCCACAGCCUAUAACCUUUUGUUUCCUCCCCAUAUCCCAAGAAAACACAUUUUUGGGAUCUAGGCUCUAGUUUGCCUUCAUUUUUGUGAGAAUAGGCUGCACAUCCAAACACUUUGAGUUUGUUAUAGUCAAGUGUUUUUCCAUACCACAACUUUUCAGGGACUUGACAAUCAAUAGCACUAGAUGGACUUCUAUUUAUUAGAAAAGUUGCAGUAUUUAGGGCUUCACCCCAGAAAAACUUAGGGAGACCAGAACUGUACAACAUGCAUCUAACUUUUUCCGAAAGAGUCUUAUUCAUUCUCUCAGCAACUCCAUUUUGCUGAGGUGUGUAUGUUACAGUUCUAUGUCUAAGAAUUCCAAAUUCUUUACAAAAUUAAUUAAAUUCAAGGUUACAAAAUUUAAGUCCAUUAUCAGUCCUCAGUGCUUUGAUUUUCUUGUUCGUUUGAUUUUCAAUCAUAGACUUCCAUUGUUUGAAAAUCAAAAAAGUAUUAGAAUUUUGUUUUAAGAGAAAAGUCCAUAUUUUUCUUGAAAAGUCAUCUACUAUCAGUAGAUAGAACCUAAAUCCACUAAAUAUAUUUACUGAUGCUGGACCCCACAGAUCAGCAUGUAAGUAAUCCAAGAUUGAAGUGGAUUUAGGGAUUCCAGUUUUAAAAGGCAGUCUUUUCUGUUUUCCAGCAGUACAAUUUUCACAAAAGUCUAAUUUUUCAAUAUUAUCAGUUCCAAAACAUCUAAGUUUGUUUAAAAUGAUUAGACCUUUCUCUAAAAUGUGCCCCAAUCUUUUAUGCCAAAUUAAUGACUUAUCAGAAACAUGAUUUGAGGCCGUGGUACAAUGACUUAUUACUUGUUCAGCAGAAAUUGUAUAAAUGCCAUUUAUUUUUGAAGAGGAAAUAACACAUAUGUUUCCUAAAAAUAAUCUCAGAAGACUCUUGUGUAUAGUGAUGUUAUAUUUUUCAUCCAAUUCUCCCAGGGAGAUUAGAUUCAUUUUCAAUUCAGGAACAUAUCUAGCAUUUUCUAAUUCAAGGGUAUAAUUUUCAGUUAACAUCAAUUUUAUCUUCCCAAUGCCCUUAAUUUGACAACUCAUGUCAUUGCCCAUCUGAAUUUAUCCUCCAUUGAAAUUGAGAAACUCAGAAAACCACUCUUUAGUGGGGCACAUAUGGAAGUUACAACCAGAGUCUAGGACCUAUUCUUUUGAAUCCCUCCUUUAGGUGUUCACAAGAACAACCCCCUGAAUAUCAGUUUCAUUAUUGCAGGCUGCUGUUGCAGAAUCAUCAGUGUUGUUUUUAUCUUUCACAUCUAAGAUUUUCUUAAAGCAAUUCUUUAUCAAGUGUUCAGUUUUGCCACAGUAAUAGCAUUUUCUGAUCUAGUUCUUUGGUUCUACUUGAUUUUUGUUCUUAUCUCUAUUUCUAUUACUCUGAAAUUUUCCUUUCUUGGUUGAAUUAAAGUUGUACUCGAUCUAUUUCUUAUUUUGAUUCAAUUUCUCUUUCAUAUAUAGCCCUUCACCAAACUUAGAGUCUUUUGCCUCGAUUUUCAUUUCAAGUUCCUUAUUUCUAAGGGCUGCAGUUAUGAUAUCUACUGUAAGAGUCUGCUCCCCAUAUUCUAAAGCAUUUCUAAUGUCUUUAUAUUUCUCACUUAGAGAGUUUAAUAAGGCAACUACUUGUUGGUCACUAGAGAUCUCCUCAUCAGAGUUAUCUAAGUCCUGAAUCAAUUUAGUGAAUUUAUCUAAAUUUUCUUCUAGGCCAGAAGAGGGAUCGAAUAUGAAAUUGUAAAAUUGCCUGAGGAGGUAACAUUUAUUAGGCAUGGACUUAGUUAAGUAAAAAGUUUCUAAUUUUGUCCAUAGAGUCUCAGCAGAAUUGGCUUCUGCAGAGGCAGUUUCUCCUACUUUUCUAAUUACAUUGUCUGAUAGAUGAAGAAAAAUAGUACUCCAUGCAAUGUCAUCUAAUUCUUUCCUCCUAUAUGCACUAAUUUCAACAGCCCAUGACCCAUCUAGGGCUGCAGCACAUCUUUGCUACAGUAAGAGGGCUCUCAUCUUCUGGCGUCAGAGAGUGAAAUCUCCAGUACCAUUCCAUGUCUCUAUGUCUAACUUAUAUGAAGUGGACAUGAUGACAAAUAUAAUUGAAUAGCAUGCAAUUAUGCAAUAUACAGUAUAAGUGAUUCAGGUAAGUAAGAUAAACAACAAGACAAUUUUAUUUUCUGAAUUUAACUACCUUAUUUACAGGCUUCACGAUUAACUAGAACACUGUCUAAAUGAAAAAAGAGGGUCAGAAUUAUAUCAUGAAACUGAAAUCUUAAAAUUCCAGUUUAGGAGUGAUCAUACUUAAGCCAGGAAGGAACCAGGUUACACUGCACACUGCACAGAUAAAUGUAUUUUCAGAACUCGGGGUCAACUCAGCAGGGAUCGAAGCGAGUCAGCUUAACUCGCCAAACUCAGUACGAGUUAGAACACCCAGUUGAAACUCAGUUGCGAUUUAACUCAACUCGCCAAACUCAGUACGAGUUAGGGCAACCAGUUGAACACAAUUAUGAGUCAACUCAGAAAAAUUCAAAAAAUAAAGGAGCAGGACUUGAGGAUCGAAUUUUUCAAUUUCAUUUACAGAAAACCAACUGAUUUCAACUAAGGAAGGGUUUCGAAUCUUUAGUUACAAGUUUUGUACGCAAUCCAACCCAGUUAACAAAAAAAAUUCAGAGUUUAAAAAAAAACUUUUUAACAAAACUUGAACCUAGGGUUCCAAAAAUAAUAGAUUUGAAAUUCGAGAGAAGAAAAAAUUAAGAAAAAAAUCAAGAAACUGGCUCUGAUACCACUGUUAUGUUUUAAAACUUAAAACAUUUGGAUCGAUCCUAGGAAAAACCAUUAAAGAACUGCAGAAAUUAAAGAAAAUUAACACAGGAUAUGUUUUGCCCUUUUAAAAGGGUCUAGUGUUCGAUUUUGCAACCUAAUCACUCGUUGAGCAUCUCUCACGAGAUUAAGCUCUAGAUCCACUAAUAACGAACAAGAACCGUGUACAAAUGUACGAAGAAAUUGGAAAUUUCUUCGAGUUUUUUCUUGCCUUUUGACACAACAACACAAAACUGCUAUCACUCUCACAUGUCGCACAAAACAACCAUUUCUCUACACAAAUAACAGAAUAUUAUCAAUCACAAAGAUCGAUUUCAUCUAACAUAGCCAAACCUUAGUUUUCACACAAAAAACGAAGGACAGAGAGUAAGACGAAGAGACACAAAGAAUUCUCUAGAAUAUGAAUGAAAAAGCCAAGACCCAGUGUGUAAGUAUCUGUAUUCAUCCAAACAAUCAGAGGGCAGAGACUUAGCCACGUGUACGGCUAAUUUUAAUUCUCGAAGAGGCGUUUUUAUCAAAACACGAUUUUAUCAAACUUGAAAUAACCACAGCAACCCGGUGGAGCAUUUGGCCCAAUUUACAGAGGCCCACGAAGCUAAGAAUCAUGUGAGACAACCCACAAAUAAUUAACAGUUAUCAAGUCUCAUAUCUUCUUCUCAACCCUGCAAUCCCACCCACUACCAAGAUGAGUAAAGGACUCAUAUCAACUUACCAGUGAUGAAGUAAUAUUACGUGGCAUUAAAUAUAAAGAUAUAAGUUUUAUAAAUAAAGUAAAAAAACAUGGCCAUGUCUACAAUUAUGAUUUCCCUCAAACUUGAGCCUUAACAUAGAAAACAUGAAGGGAUUGCAGGAAAAUCUUGGAACUCUCGCAUAGAACUUUUGUAGAUUUAUACAAUAUACACUCACCUAAAGCAGUGGUAGCAUGAGAAAUUCCUAGGUCUUUAAAGAGAAAAAUAUACUGUACCUUUUCAAAGAUAAUAAUUUAUAUAAGGAAAUAUUAUAUUUAUCUCUAUCCAUCCAAAUACUUUUUGUUGACCUCAAAAAAUGGACUAACAGAAUCCCCACCACGGCCCCUCCACAUGGACCCACCUGCACAUUGAACACUCCGUUAGAAUGCAAAGGUCAUCUGCCGAGAAAAUUUCCGACAAUCAUUUGCACUUUGACGAUUAAGUCAACGGCCCGAUGAAAAAUAAUAUGAUAGUGCAAGACACAGGAGAGGGGGUUUUGGUUAGGGUUAGAAUGAUAUAUCAUAAGUGUGAAGCGAAUCCAUAUAUAAAAAAAUUGAAUUGGGCCAAAUGAGUUUUGUGAAAUGGGCAAAGUUCAAGCCCAAAUACAAUUUUUUAAUUAAAGAAGUCCAAUCAAUUAAAUAGUCAAUGUCACGUUGGCCAAUGAAGGACAUUGCAUCACGCGUAUGCCAUGCAAUUUAUAGGCAUAACACUCUUAUCAUUUCAUUCAUGAUACUCAACAAAUCUUGUCAUUGUUUCCAUGAAAUACUAAAUGAAUUAUAUACCAGGAUAAUAAUUCUUUAUGAAACAUUGUUGCCAUGUUCUUCUCUUUAUUAACUCCUUUAAUUUCUUGCAUCUCUAUCCAUUGUUCUUUUCUUUCUCAAUAUGAAUUCUAAAUCAACCAAAGCAUUUAUCUUAAUUAUAUUAUAAUUACUUGUUAACGACCUUUCUUCUUAAUACCAAGGUUUUUCUGAUCUUUAGUUCGUUGAUCACCAAAUUAGUUCGAACUAUUUUUUUGUACUAAACAGUUUGCAAUAAAAACAACAUAUUUUGUUCAUAUCUUUUAAAUAUAUCAACUACCAUUUCUCUGUAUCAUGUUUUCUCUUCAUUUGAAAGAUUCCUCGUGUAGUAAGAAGUAGAAAACGUAGAAAAUCUACAUCACCUUCUCUGGUUGGACCUCUUUCUACUAACAGAUGUCAUCACUUACUAUCAAUAAUUCCCAUCUUCACGUAUCAUAAACGUUGAUAGAAACAUGACUCCAUGAGUUUUUUUUUUUUUUUUUUUUUCUAUGAUCUAUUUAUAGUUGUUUGUUAAGUUAUUUCUUAUUUGAGUUAUUUGCAUCCUACUAUUAUUUGUGAAAAAAAUUUCAAGAGCUUAAUUUUGACAUUGAAUCUAACUAUCUAUUUUUCUUUUUUCUUUUUUUCGUUAAAUUUGCCAUAACCUAACGAAUUUUAUGUUAGAUAUGUUUGUCCUUUACUUGUGAUAAAAAUUAAACAACUCUACCAAUGAAUAAGAAAUAAAGAUAUCACAUGAAAAUAAUCCUAUGAUUAAUCUCAAAGUAAAUAGUAAUCCAAGACUUCUCCAAAUCAAACACUACUUGUGACUCUUUUCUCGAUGAUGAUCGAGUCAAUUGAAUCCUAAAAUACAUAAAUUAAGAGCUUGAGUGAUAAUAAUCAAACAGUUAAAUAAUGAAUAACAAAUGCCAGUAUGGUAUAGCAAAUGGUAAUAAUAAAUGCUAGUCAUUUAAUAAAGAAUAUAAGCUGAGAAAAGCAUUCAAUAAAGACAUCAAAUUUGUUUCCCAUUAUUAAAAUCAAUAGUCAAUACAACAUUACAUUUGAAUAAACGAAUAUAAGAAUAAAAGAAUUAAUUUCUAUAGACAUUUUCAUGACAGAAGAAUUGAAAUAUGAAACAGUGCACACUAUUGUCAGAAUCUUGAACGCUUGCAUUCUGCAGAUAAGCCUUGAGGAAACCUUGGAACAUCAGCACAAUAAUUAUAAAUCAUGUGUUUCUGUUGUACCCAACGAAGUCUAUUUCUUCCCUUUGCAUCCAAUUCUAGAGUUUGCCAAGUCCCAGAAUUAGAGGAAUCAACAGACUUGGAAGCACAAGAUCCAACGUUCGAUCCAGAUGCACAGAUAUUGCCAUUGACAUUGAAAUUCCUGUAAGAGGCAACAAAAGGAGCUUUUGUCCAGUCAGUCUUGAUUCUUCCACCUUGUGUCGCCCAAUCGUCUGCAUUCCAUAAGCUACAGUAUACUCUCAUGGGCUGGUUUGUAGGAAAUGGAAUGCCAAUUGCCUGGUGAUUGUUGAAUACUCUGAUAGGAAUGUUGUCCGCCAAGAAACUGAAAUUCAUAACCAAGAGAAUUAUUAUUAAUUUUCUUACUGUUUGAAGAUCAAUGAAAGGGACACUUAAGGGCUUUGUAUAUUGACUUACAUGAUUCGUUGAGAAUUCCAAACGAUGGAGUAGGUGUGGUAAGCUGAUGUUGGAUCAAACCAGAGAUGGAAUUGUUGUUCCUUGUUCCCUUUUCCUUGAGAAUACACAUUGGUAUGAACAGUAUAUGGUUGUCCAGAUGCAUUGCCUAGAAACUCGAAAUCAAUUUCAUCGUGACCAGGUCCUUGAGACGCUAACUGCACAACAAAAUAAACAAACAAUUCAAUAAUGGAUAUCAAAAAAAGAGGGGUGGUGGUGAGUGAAGGAAAAAUUGAGCACUUACGAAAAAUGUGGUUACAGUUCCAGCAGAGUCUCCAGGAAUAAGCUUAAGUUGCAUAUCGAACCUUCCAAACAGGUACUCAUUCUUGGACUGAAAUCCAGAACCAGAAUAUUGGUCUAAGGAGAGCGUUAGAAGCCUGCCACCCUCCAUUAUCUUACCUCGACCAUCACCCCAGUUUAUAUCAGCAUCCCUGUAGAAGCUACCAGCAGAAGGGGUCACCAAAGAAGUCAUGACAAUAGAAACUAAAACAACUCCCAGAUUCAAUAGAAGUUUGGAAUUUGAAAAUGUUGCCAUUUUUGUAGCUGAAAAAGAAAUGUAGCUAGAGAGAAGGAGAGAAAGGGAGGAAGAGUGAAGGUGUUUUUGUUAUGAGUAAAUUUUGAAAUGGAGCCUCCAUAUAUAUAUGAUUUUGUGAGGUGGGGUGGGGUGGGGUAGGGUAACAUGGAGGUUGAUCUUGAUCAGAAGGAAGUUUCUGUGUUGAGACCGGACAGCGUAUUUGAGCUGGACAGAAUAAUUUAGUGAGUUAGCCAAUUAGCUGGUUUCAGAAAUAGAAGUUUACGCGUAAUGGUAUGACUUUUGGAAAAUUCCCUAGUUGAUAUCUGGAAUUUGUCCAAUAUUUUAAUGAAUUCUUAGUUGCUUCUCACAAUGAAAGCGCCAAAGAAGAUGCGUUUACACGUUGCUUCCUGCAGAUGGUGCUGUGUCAAGUAAGAUACUUAAAAAAUAAAGAAAAUUCAACUUCACGGUGACAUAAAUUUGCCCUUGGAUCAAGAAUUUGGCAGUGCUCGGGGACUUGCAAGAAAGGCAUUCGCCAUGUCCUCUAAUAUUUUCAAUGCUUAUUCGAGAAUUGUUAAUAUAGUUACAAACGUUUUUCGACGAGUUGAAUAGGCUAUUUAUAUGUUUUUGUUUUUGGUAUAGUUAAAGGUGUAGAUUGAGCAUUCUAAAUGUUUCGAUUUGUGCUGGGGGGCGAUCAAAUGUCGUUGGAACUUUGCUUUAUGCGACUUGAUUAUGGUACUUUGUUUCCUUUUUCAAUUGAUUAUUUAUUUCUCUUGAAAACACUUUUUAAAAAUGUUAAAUUCAUGUAACACGUUUAUACAAUCCUAGAAUUAACUAACUACUAUAAUGAAUCUUGUCUUUCUAUCGAUACAUUUUUGUACGAAUUUCCUAAAUAACGGCCAAAAUAAAACUAUCAUUUUUUUAAUGUUUUAAAAUUAGUAUUAUCAAAAUUAACUUGUGGUUCUUAUUUGAAUUGGAGAAAAAGAUGCCAAAGAGUCACAAUUUGAAGAAGAAAGGAAUUUGGUAGAAUUAUUCCUUGAUCCACCGAAUUGCAUUAGGUCAAAAAUUGAAGACAUUUUCCCUAAUGCCUCUCUCUCUCUCUCUCUUCCUACCAUUGUAUUUGACAAAAGAAAUUGAUAAAUAAUUUCGAUCUUUGAAUUAAAGUAAAUCAACGGCCCCAUCUAUUUAUCAAAAUCCUUCAUAAUCCUUACACCCAAAUCCGAUUGCACUUUAUUUACCAAUUGCAAUCUAUUUCUCCAGCUCUCUUUUUCAUUAUAAAUCUGCUAAAAUCCAUAAUUUCAUUGAUAAAAUUUCUAUUAAACAUGCCUUUAAACAAUUACGAAUGCUUUAAUGGGAAUUUUGCCAAACAAAAUUUCUUAUAGAAAAUUCCAAAGAGUCCAACCCACUGCACUUCCAUGACAGCUUUCAUGUGUGAAUUCGUGGGUUCCCAUGAAGUUUUGACCGAGCAUACGUCUGGCCAGCAUCUCAAUCAGUGGGUUAAUUGAAAUUAUUAUUGAUUGAAAGAAUCUGGCCACACUAUGUAACUCGUGAUAGAUAUAUUUGGGAUAUUUACAAGACUGAUUAUAUCUCAGUUCGAUUAAAUAUUGAAAUAUAAAAUCAAUAUAUGUGGAUUUGAACUACUUCUCUAACAAAUCUUAAUAGUUAAUAGUCAUUAGAUGAGAUUUUUUUUUUUUUUUUAUCUUGUACUAACAUUGAAUCUUUAAUCGUGCAUAACAUAACAAAAUAAAUUGUUAAAUCAAACCACUAGAGGUUGUUAAAGGCAUACUAAUAAAAUUUAGCUUGUUCGUUGACCUGUACAAAACGUCGAGUCAUUGCAUUAUCGUACCAUUCAACUGAGUUCUACCAAGAAAGAUGAUACGGUUUUCGUUUUUAUUAUUGGGAAAUGAAAAUAUGAAAUAAAAGAUGUUUUAGAAUCCCUUUCUUCUAUUUUAUUUUCUUAGUCAUUUUGUCGUUCCUAUACUUUUUAAGUAAUUUUUUGAAUUUUUUUCAUUGUUAUAUUAUUCUUAGUAGCAUAAUAUAUUAUUCUUUUUAUAAAAUUAAUAUGCUACACCGAUUUGUGCGCUCUUUUCCUCUCCAUAUCUCCAUUAUUCAUUAAAAUUUUAUAUUAAAAUCAAUUAUAUCACAUAGAUUCGUAUCAUAUUUUUAUUUCUCAAAUAUUGCAACGUGAAACCAAAAUUGUAGUUAGGGGCAAAUGAGCCUGACAAGACAUGGAAAACCCUUGUUUUGGACAAUCUUCGUUGCUUCGCUAACCCCGCGAGUUGCGAAAACUUCCUUCAGUAAGAGAGUCUUGACCCCUUUUCUUUUUCUUUUUUCUUUUUUCUUUUUUUUUUAUUCGUGUAAAGAAUUUUUCGGGAGCCACUUUAAAAUCAUGAAAACUAUGCCUAGAAGUACAAUUUAUAGCUUCCACUUAAUUAUUCAUACUUAUGAAAUUAGCAAACAACCAAUCCUCCAUUUGUUGAUUAUUCAACUGAUGGAAAUUUGUUCCUCAGGGUCUUAUUGACAAGCGAGACGUGAGACAUAAGCCUAACUUUCCACAAACAAAAGUUCAAUAAAUACAAUAAAUAGAUAGCGCGUUCGCACUAUCAAUGUAAUAAAUUAGGCCACAUGAGAGUGAAAUGCUGGAAUAUUGAAAAUUAUUAGAAACGAGUAUCCUUUCUGUUCCUUCUGCAAAUAGAAAUCAUAACAAACAAGUCUUACUCCAUCACCACCCAAUUAAGAGGUAAAAUCCUUCCAUACAUAAAAUUCAAAAAAGAAACAAUUUCUGCAGCACAAUGUUUCUUUUUCUUCAGAAAAACAAGUAUAAAUUAUUCCCAAGACUCAAAUAUUUAGUUUGUGCAAUUAAAGAAUGAAGAAAUUAACUUGGAAAAUGAUCAAAUAUCCAUGAGACAAGGUCCAAUAUUUCAUGUUCCUAGAACCUGGGAAGUCUGCAUUCCUUGGGACGUCCCUGAGGAAACCUUUUUCCAUCAGCACAGUAAUUGUAGAUCAUGUAACUCUCUUGGACCCAACGAAUCCUGUUUCUGCCAUUGGCAUCGAGUCCCUGAGUUUGCCAUGGCUGAUUGUUCAAAACUCCGUUGCAAGAAUUUCCCGAUGCGCUGACAACACAGCCGUUGGCAUUGUAGUUCCUGUAAGAGGCAGUGAAUGGCGCCUCUGUCCAGUCUGUCUUCACUCGUCCGCCUUGGGUUGCCCAGUCGUCGGCAUUCCAUAAACUUGCAUAUACUCUCAUGGCUUGAUUCUUUAAGAAUGGAACUCCAUUUGCCUCGUAGUUGUUAAAAACCCUAAUAGGGAUGUUGUCCACCAAGAAACUGAAAAAUCAAAUAAAAUUGUCACGGAUUAUAUAAGCUAGCACACAUGUUCAAUGUGGUUCACCCUCAAUAUAAAAUUUAAAUCCACUUGUAGCAACAGUUUUUCAUAGUAAGCCACUGUUUGGUCUCACCAAACACUAACAACUUUGAUUAAAAUCCAAUUCAAAAUUAGCAUUUAAUUUUAAUUACACAUUUCAUCGGAUCUACUCAUCUACAACUUUAAGUUCGAUCACAUAUUUUAUCAACUUUUAUCAAAAUCUACUAAAAUUUUGAUUUGUAUCUAAACUAAACAGGGCUAAGCCUCAAGCAUCUAAGUUUGUAGUCUUAUAGAAAACGCCUUGUUAAAUAAUCCCUUAUAAAUCUAGGAUUAUUAUGUGAUUAUUAUACGUUCAGAAUGCCUAAUAGACCAAAAAUACAUUUGUACGGUCGAGGGAAAAAGUUUACGACAUUUUUAUGAUCGAGAAAAUUUUAAGAAAAAAGAACGGCUUACAUUAUUCGCAGUGGGUUCCAGAGAAUGGUGUAGGUAUGAUAGGCUGAUGUUGGGUCGAACCAAAGGCGAAAUUGUUGUUCCCUAUCACCUUUCCCUUGGGCAUAAAUAUUAGUGUGGACUGUAUAGGGCUGACCAGAAGCAUUUCCCAAGAACUCGAAAUCUAUCUCAUCAUGGGCAGGACCAGCUGGAGAUGAUAACUGCAAAUUAAUGAAAUAAAUAUUUAGCUGCUAAAUUAUAUGACCAUCUGGUUUGAACAAAUUAAGUCAAAUUAAAUUGAUAAUUUCAUUGAUUUAAAUUUGUUGAAAAUUGUUUAAAAGGUUUUAGUUGUUAGAACAAACAUACUGUUUCGACAUAUGCUCUAAUACACUAAUACCACGUUGAACUAUCUUAUAUUUAUGUAUGCUUAUAAACAAAAAGUAAUUAUCAGACUUACGUAAAAUGUGGUGACAGUGCCAGCUGAAUUAUUAGGUAUAAGCUUGAGCUUCACGUCAAAUCUUCCAUAUAGACACUCAUUUUUGGACUGAAAUCCCGAGCCCGAACUAUUAUCAAGGGACAAUGUGAGAACUUGGCCACCAUCGAGUAUUUGAGCGCGUGGACCACCAAAAUUGAUAUCGACAUCUUGGAAGAAGUUACCGGCCAUGGCGGCUAACAAAAAAGUCAUGAAUAUUGAGAGCCUAAGAGCCCUAGCACAAUUCGAGAACGACAUUUUUAGGGUUUAUAGAGAAAGAAGGAAAUCUUGAGACAGAAGGAAUUGUUUGUUUGAUAUUUUGUGAUCAAGGCUUUAUAUAGGUAACAUAAAGCUAGACAUAGUUGACAUGUAACAAAGGAGUUUCCGAGGAAGGGAGAUUAUAAAUAACUGUAUACAGCUAAGUUUGAUGGAUGCACAUUUGGUGGUAGCGAAUAGUUAAGACAUCAGAGGUUGACAUAUCCUCUUUAACGCGUUCUUGAUUUUAAUUUGAAAAUGUUUUUAAUUAUUCGGUUUAAAUUAAUUUUUGACUAUUAUUUUUCUGUUUUCUUCGGACGAAUGUACAUUAAUUGACGUGGCGAAAGCUUAUAGGAAACAAUAUUUCAUGAAAAUUCAAACUUGUUAAUUCGUUCAUGGAUGUCAAAAAAAAAAAAAGAAUAAUGAAAGAAACUUCUCAAAAAAUUUAUUAAAUAAAAUCAAAUUCAAUUGAUAUUUAAAGAAAUAAUCAAAUUUUGAAUAACAACUAAACUCUAGGAAAUGACGAAAAUUAAAAUUAUUAAUGUUCAGAAUUAAUCCACAAUAAACGAAAUAAAAAAUCAAAUUUACUAAAUAUAACAAAAUUAUCCAGAGAACCGAAAAACGCAUUUUUUACUUUUUUUCGAAAACAAAUACCCCGAAAAAUUAUUUCUUUUGACACUGCUUCCUUUUCCAUACAAUCUUAUUCUUUCUAUACCACGUCAUUAAUCCAAGAUAUGCAAACAAAACUUACAAUUUUUAACACUAAAAAGAAGUCAAAUUAAUAUAAUUUAUUAUACUACUUAAUAUUGUCCUACAUUAUAAAUAUCGAAUUGGAAUCGAAACACCUCGGAAAGUUUUAAGCAUAAGCACAAAAAUGGUGCAUCUUUAAAAGGAAAUAAUGCAGAAAUCAAAAGUUAUACGACGGUAGAUUGAAAAAUGAUGUACAAAUUCUUUAAUUUUGUCUAAUCCAAUAAAUAAAUAAAAUAAAAUAUAAAAAAUAAAGUCUAGAAUGACUAAUCUUAAUGUUGCCGGUUUAAUUUUUAUUUUAUUUUUUCCUCCUGUGGUCGUUAGAUAUGAAGCGGUCAAACUUGAUUUCGUUGGUGGAUUCCAAUCAUUUCCAGAACAUAAAAUUUGUCAUUGUGUUCUAGGCACGAUCGAACCUUACACCAGUUGCUUUGGUGGUUUUGUCACGUCUUUUUAUCUUUAUUUUAUUUGCUUAUAUCCCCUUUGCAAAUUUCAUAAAGCUUAUAUAUAUAUAUAUAUAUAUAUAUAAACUGAACCUAAUUUCCAAUUCUCACGAUUUAAUAUUACAUAUCUCGAUGUAAAUAGAUAUUUACUCGACACAACGAAUUGUAUGGACUGAUGGACACAUUGCAACUACAAAAGAUAUUAAAAUUUUGAAAAGUGAAUAAAUAUUUAAGUUUAAGAAGAUUCUCUACAUUAGGUCAAAUCUAUAUUAUUUAAUUUGAGAAGAAAUUUUUAAAAGGAGCUAGGUUAGCAUUGGUGAUGAUCUAAUAGCAAUGGGGUUAAUUUCACAAACGGUCACUGAACUUACAGAAAAAUUGCAAAACGGUCACUAAAGUAACGAUCAAUUAAGUAUUGGGAUGUUUUCAAAAAUGGUCACUAAAGUUUAAAAAUUUUUGAGUUAUUUUUACGGUAAUUUUUAGACCACUUCCGACCAUCGAUACCAUCGGAUUUUGAUACCGUUGGAAAGCCUACAAUGUCCUCUUCAAUUACAACAAAAAAUCUCCCCAAAAUUUCAAAGGAUUCGGUUGGAAUAAACCCACAAAAUUGGCUACCCGAAAAGGCAAAAAUCUGCCCAAAUUUUUAGAUUUUUGGUAGACUUUUGUGGCGAUUUUUUGACAACUUCCGACCACCAAAAUAGUCUGAUUUUGAUAUAUUGGAAAACCCACAAUGUCCUCUUUAAUUAGCACCCAAAAUCUCCUCAAAACUCCAAAGGAUUCGAUCGGAAUAAACUCACAAAGUUGGCAUCCCAGAUUUUCGCCUUUUUGGGACGCCGACUUUGCGGGUUUAUUCCGGCCGAAUCCUUUGGAGUUUGGGAGAGAUUUUGAAUGGUAAUUGAAGAGAAUAUUGUGGGCUUUCUAACGGUAACAAAAUUCGGCAAUCUUGGUGGUCGAAAGUCGUUGGAAAAUUGCCGUAAAAGUCGCCCAAGGCAGAUUUUUAGAUUUUUUGGGGCGAAUUUUGCGGUGAUUUUUCUAUCAAAUUCCUUGGUGUUACGGAGAGAUUUUGAGUGGUAAUUGAAGAGGACGUUGUGGGCUUUCCAACGGUAUCAAAUCCGAUGAUAUCGAUGGUUGGAAGUAGCUGAAAAAUUGCCGCAAAUGUAACAAAAAAAUUUUAAAAAGUGUUUUUCAACUUCAUUGACCGUUUCAGAAACUUUUUAAACUUCAGUGACCGUUUUUGAAAGCGUCCCAAUACUUAAGUGACCGUUAUUGAAAGUUUUAAAUUUCAGUGACCGUUUGUGAAAUUAACCCAAUAACAAUAUAUAAAAUAUAAGAAUAAUUAUAUAUAUGUAAGAUAUGUGUCUGUACGUAAUUACGAGAGUACAGUAGGAAUAAAAAUAUAGUUGUCUGUGUAUGUAAAUAAAGAAAAAAUGAUGAAGUUGGGUAUGCUACAAAAAAAUGUAGGUUGUUAUAAGACACUUUCAUUGACCAAAUAACAGUUCGUAAUAUUUUUGAUUGAUCAAGAGAUCCUAAUUUUUAUUCUUUUAGCGACCAAAAAUUAGUUGUUGAUGGCCGAUUUCAUCAACCAAGCAAUAUGUUGUCAUUGAAAACCUCAGCAGGAAGAAACUUCGCCUUUUUUUUUUUUUUUGUGCGCGCGCGCUUGUUAUAAGGGUUUUAGUGACCAAAUAGUGACUGGUAACGAAAGGCUUGGCAAGAAUGAUGAUGUAAAGACCAAUUAUUAGUCACUAAUGUCUGAAUAUUGCUAUUUAUAGUCAAUGAUCGCAGUAAUCAUCUUAUCUGGUAACUUCUUGUUUGAGGCAUUAAUUUCAUUUAGUUGUGUUGCCUCGAAUAACAAGCUGUCACAUAAAAAUGACUAUUGCUAUCAAUCAAUGCAUCAAACAAUAAACUACUACAUAAAAAUGACUACUACAAUCGCUAACUACAUAUAGCCAUAGCCGGUCUUGAGGCGAGGCAAAUGAGGCCCUCGCCUCAGGCCCAAUACCAUAUGGGGCCUCAUUUUAGGCCCCCCCCCCACCCAACCCAAUUUUUCUUUCUUCAAAACAAGGCCAAAAAGCUCAAAUGAUUUGAUGUAAAUUUAUUGAAGACAAGAUCUAAAAUGGUUAAAUUUGGAGUUUUUUCUUGGAAAUGGUGUGGGAUUUGAUGAAUUUUAUAAAUGGGUGUCUAUAAAUAUUUAUGUUGUUGUCUUAUUUUUGUACAAAAAUUUUGUGAAGAUAGAUAUUUAUGUGAUUGUAUUUGUUGAAUCUAUGUCGUUGUCUUAUUUUUGUACAAAAACUUUGCGAAGAUAUUACUACAUUUUAAAUUCUUUCAUUCUAGAUCUGCUUUAAAAGGGACAAAAAGUCGUAUUUUAAUAUAUAUGUAUAUUUUUGUUUAAUUUUAGUUGAUAAUAAGUUUUUAAUCAAUUGUGUCGAUUUCAUGAUCUGCACUUCCACACUUGGCACAAGUUCUUUCACUCUAUAAUUAAAUCUUUGGUAUUGUUAUUUUAUAAUAUAAAUCAUUUCUAUAAUAUAUUUGGUUGUUGUUUAAAUGUUAGUUUUAAGUUAGCAAUAUGUCACAUAAUACAGUGUUAAAUUUUGCAUUUACGUAGAUUUCGCCGAGGCCUAAUUUGUGGAAUUCGCCUUGGGCCCCCGACAAUUAUAGGACUGGCCCUGCAUAUAGGGUUACUCCUAAUAUCUUGUCUUAGCAAACAACCAUGGAUUGGUAACUAAAAACUGGUUUGUGAUUGGGGUUUGUAAAAAAAAUAAAUAAAUAAAUUCAACUUUCCAAUUAUAUAUUUCACUAAACCCGUGUUUAGACUCAAUUAAUUUUAAAAUGCAUUUUUCAUUUUCUUUUUGACAACCACACAUAUUCUAAUAAAUUAUUAUUACACGUAAAUUUAAAGUUUUUCUCCCCUUUUAACCACAUAUUCUUUAAAAAUCACUAUUGCAAAAUACCUUUUUUUUUUUUCCUUCAAAAACUAAUUAUAAUGAAACUCAAAUGGGUACUAAAUAUUAUCAAAAUCUAUUUAAAAAGCUGAUUUUUAGUCAAAUAAAAAAGGGGCUAUAUCACAUCUUAUAACUGACAACUCAACUAAUAUUUAAUAAUUCUGAUUAUCAGAGAGUUAGGUACACAGUAACACAGUUGACAUGGAGCGUAGUAACUUACUAAAUGUAGGAAUUCCAAAAUUUUCGUCCUAUUUCCUUUUAAUCCGGAUCUAUGUUUUAACUUUGCAAUAUUUAACAAAAUUAGUCAAAGUUAAACGUGCAUUACACAUUAUUCUAAAAUAUUUUAUAAGCGAUUUAGAUGUAAUAUUUGGUACCAAUUUGUUAGAAUGAGUCUUGGACGAAUGAAAGAAAAUAAAAUUUAACAUAAAAAUUUAAGAGAAGAAAAUUGUGCCCUCAAAAUUCAAUUUUCAUGAUUCAAAUUUUUUGUAAUGAUAAAAUAGUAUAAAUGAGCAAUCUUUUUAUAUUAUAUUUGAUAAAUAAAAAUUAAUUGUUAGUACAUAAAUUUAAACAAAUAUUAAAAUUUUUAGAUAUAUGAAUAUGAAUAAACUCAUCUAUAAUAACCUAGAUUCAUGUAAUUCAAGAUUUAUCAAAUGAAAUCUAGGUUAAUGUGAAUGUUAAUUAAUUGAGAAUUAAUAACACAAAUUUUAUAAAUGACAAUAAUUAUGUCGUAUUUAUUACAUAUCGAAAAAUGAAAAAUAAGGUAUUAUUGAAAUAUUUGAAUUGUAGGAAGAUUAAAAUCGCCCAAAAAAUGAUAGAUAUCAUAUGGAUUAAUAUUUAUCAACGGACUCCCCUAGUUUUGCUCUGUUUGUGAAAUCUGCCAAAUGGCUAAUGAACUUUAUUAGGCUUUAUUUGGGAUUUACAUUUUCUUAUUGGGCUGGGCAUAGGCCGUAGGAUCUAAAUCCAUAUAAAACAAUAACACAACAAUUGACAUUAUUAGCAUCAAGAAGAAAAUACAAGAAAAUGGCCUCUCUUGAAAACCCAGCCCCAUCUUCUCUGUUUCAUUAAUUUUACCAAAAAAUAAAAAAAUACUAGAAAAAUCUAUGUGCCAACCGAUUAUGCAGUCCACUUCAAUUGCUCCGUGGCAUACUUGCUACUACUAUCCUGUCCCUAAACAUUUAUUCUCCCCAAAUCUCCACCUCCAAAACCAGAAGAAUCUCUCUGUAAAACCUUCAAAAAAACUCCGCAUAAACAAUAGUUUCUUCACUUUUACUGCAACAAACAGUUGCAGUGAAGAUCAAGAAAAGAAUCAGAAUCCUUAUCCAAGAAAAGACCCAGAUGAAGAUAACCCCAAAUCUUGCCAAGGUUUUUGCUCUUCCAUUGAAAACCCAAAAACCAAAUUCAGAGAGAGUGAAAGGGAACCAGAAAGUGAGGUAGAUAAUUUUUUGGACAUUUCAUCAAACAUGUGGUGGACAGAUUUCAAAGCUUUCUUAGGGCAAAGAAUUAAUUUGGAAGGCCUUGCUUCUUCUGUGGGAAUUUUGUCAAAAGACAAGCACUUGGCAAUCCCACAUGUUUCUGUUCCUGAUAUACGGUACAUUGAUUGGAGUGAAUUGAAGAAAAGAGGAUUUAAAGGCGUGGUCUUUGAUAAGGAUAAUACUGUUACUCUUCCUUACUCUUUGAGCUUGUGGGAGCCCCUUGGAUCAUCCAUAGAGCAAUGUAAAUCGAUGUUUGGUAAUGAUAUUGCAGUGUUCAGUAACUCUGCCGGUAAUUUUGAUCAAACCUAUUUAUAUUUUUUUGGCUAAUUUCAUUGUUUUGAAGGGUUGUUAGUUUUGUUUGAUCAAUUUUCUGCUGGUUUUCCAUCAUAUUGUAAAUUUUUAGGACUAUACGAGUAUGACCCGGAUGGUACGAAAGCUAAAGCUCUUGAGGAUGCAAUCGGGAUAAAGGUGAUUAGGCAUAGUAAGUUCAUUUCAUCAGCUAAAAAGCUGUCAUUUAACUAUAUUAUUCCUCGAAUUUCAUGUAUCAUGGGUAGCAUUUGAUAUCGAUCAAGAUGACGGGGCAGUGCCUAUAUUUGGACAUUGGAAAAGUAGUAAUUAAUGUUGUGUGUGUUUGCUUCGAUUAUUUAUCUAAUCCAGGGAAUAAGAAGCCAGCUGGAACUGCCGAAGAAAUUGAAAAGCACUUUGGUUCUGAGUCUUCUAGACUGAUCAUGGUAAUGAAUUCCAUAUAGAAGAUUAAUCAUAUGCUCUUGUUCCUUUUCCUUUUUUCCUGUUUUUGUUUAAUAAUUUCAUUGCACAAUAAACUGGUAAUGUAAAUGGUAGGUGGGUGAUCGGCCCUUCACGGAUAUUGUUUAUGGAAACAGAAAUGGUUUUUUCACGAUAUUGACUGAACCACUUUGUCUUGAGGGGGAGCCUUUAAUCGUACAGCAGGUUGGUUUUUCUGAACUUUUUUCUGUCAGUACUGUCUAAGCAAACCUCUUCUUCCUUUAGUAGAGUAACAUUAAACAUAAAAAGAAAUGUUAACUGUGAGUUGAAGAUUGCUGAGACUUUAUGUUGAUGUCUUCUUGUUACAAAAUCAUUUAGUCGCCUAUCUCAAGAUGAUUGCAAAGUAAUGAGGAACUCAUUUUUCGUUGCAUAACUACAGUCUUGGAACCUCAAUAUUUAUAUGUUGUGUGAAAAUUGAAGUUGUUCGAGUGUCCAGGGCCAUACAUAAGCUUGGACUAGAGUUUGGGCUUCUGUAUGUUGCUUGAGCUUUUGUUAUAUCCCCUCAUUGCUCCACCUUACCAAAUUUUAUAGGUCUAUUACCAGUAAUUCUGAAUCGUAGAAUUAUCCUAGUCGGCUUUGAAAGAUUCUGAAGUGGUGUCUUGCUUACUUAACGGUCGACCAGAAAAAGAGACUUGCGUAAUCUCAUUGAGGAUCUUGUGAUAAUUGUUUCUAGUUUUCCGAUUGCUAAAUGUGUUGUUUAUAGGUCUGAUUCUUCCAAGCAUACUAUAACUUCUUGAAAAGAUUACGUUUAUAUAUGCUGCUAGAAUUAUCAUGUAUCCCAAUAUGUAUAAAUGAAAGAAAUGGAUGGGAGACACUAGUUGCAACAAAAUUGAAAUGGAAGAUCUAAGAAGGAUAGUUGCCUAGCUAAAAAUUAAUAAAAUAACUGUAAGGUUCUAGGAAAGAUUAAUUAAACUAAAUAAAAAAGUCAUCUGCAAACAGUUGUUAUUAAUUAUUAUUUCCUGAUCUUAUGCUCUAUAGAUAUUAUUGGACCUUAAAUAUAGUUAUAAUGAGAAACAGAUUGAAGAUAAAAUUAGGGACGCUGACUUAGGUAGUUGGAGGCUUGGAGCAUGUCUUACAUAGGCCUAAUGAAACUUUUAUUCACAAGUGCCGAGACAGAUUGUGUCCUAGAUCCUAAUAGAACAAGUUAAAAGAAUUUGAGACCAACAGGUCAGCAUGGUUUAUGUGGUUACGUAGAAUUUGAUUUAGGGGAUUUUUGAUGGAUUGAAUGAAGUGAUAGAAAAUGAUUCAAGCAGCCAACUUCCAAUCAACUAUGAAUAUGUAUGUCAGAAUUUUGUUGUAGAAACAGAUUGAAAUUCUGUUUAUCCUGGGAACUAUUGCAUUUUCUUGUGCAUGUGGAGAAUCAAGGCAUUGAAGUAGAGCUUUAAGUUCUCCAUUUUACAGAAUCCGUGCUGAUAUGAGAAAGCAAAAUCUUUGCAGGUGAGGUUUCUUGAACUGGCCCUUGUGAACCGAUGGACUGGAAAAGGUUUGAGGGCAAUCGAUCACAGGCUUCUUCCAGAUCCCCGGCAAUGUGUAAAAGAUAUACCACUCUGACAAAUGUCAUUAUGUAUAAGAAAAAAAAACAAUUUUUCCUAGGCAAGUAUCUAUUAUUCUUUUGCAUGUGGCCGUUAAUUGACUACAUUUUGCAAUAUUUUUUUCAUUCAUGAUACAGUUGAAAACAAUGCAGAACUUACUUGAAAUGGUGCAUCAGAACUGCUUUUUGUAGUUUGUUCCAAAGUUCCACAAUUUGUGUUCAUUUGUGCAUCAGUGUUGUGUUGUUGGAAAAUUUAGAAAGAAACGAAGAAGAAGAUGAAAAACGAUUAAAGAAUAAUUUGAUAUUGAAGAAGACUUGAACGCGUAUAAAAGUUGUCCUAAAACGAUAUUUGCCUCAUUUUCUAAUUGCUUUAAGGAUUUUCGGCAUAUAGUUGAAGGAUUAAACAAGCUUAAGAUGAAGGACAUCAAAGCAAAAGGAAUAUCUUCAAAUUGAACAAAUUGAAAAUCAAGAAAUGAAUAUGUAGAGAGAAUAAUGAAUUUUCUCAAUAACUUGGAUGAUAAGGGAAUGAUUAUUUUAUUUUUAUGUAUUUAGGGAAGAAUAUUAUGAUGUAUUUAUGAUCUCCAAUCAUCCCUAUACGAAUUUGUACCACCUUUACGUGAAAAGAUGCAAGAAAUCAAUCAAAGGACACCACUUUUGAAAUUGAAAAAUCUGCCAAUGGGUAGAAAUCUCAACUAUGCAGCUGGAAAAAAAAAAAAAAUAAUAAUAAUAAUAAUAAUAUAAAGGUUGAACCCCAAUCUUGAGGGUCCCCAAUGCCCCAUCUUUAAAGCUUUGUGAAGAAGGUAAUCACGGGAUGUGCCCCAACAGGCCAAGGAACAAGAGUUGUCUGUACACUGCACCUACAAAGAGUUUAAUUCCACAUCUCAUGAUUCAAACCCCUACAUUGCGACUGCUAGCGAGGCGUAAGAUAACCUCACUCAUGUCCUUUACACUAUUAUACUAUGCCCCCGAGGGACAAUAAUAAUAAUAAUAUAUUUGCAUGGUUAGAUGCAGCCGCACAAGUCACUAGGCCAAUUUUUAGCCUAUAUUUUUUCCCUUUUUUUCGAUUUUUUCAUCCAAAUUCAAUUUUGAAACAAGAUUUCAACAUAUGUUAUAUCUCAUGCUAUGUUGAAAAUAGUCUAAAAUUCUCCUCAUUUAUUGCUUGAUAAAUAUAGAUUAACGUCUUUUAUCCUUUUGAUUCUUCUCCAAUCCUGAGAAUGAAUAAGUCAUCUGUCAUCUCUGGUUAUGUAAAUCUAUUUUCUACGAUUCCACACACGUCUUCUCAACGAUAGACAAGGACUCUAUCGACUGUAAUUUUUGUGCUGAACUUUGGAAGUUGUGGUUCAACAUACCACUAUGUUAGAAGGAAAAGUGACCCACUUUUGACCCAAACCGAGUUUUUUCCGAAGAACAAAGUAGGUUUUUCUUUCAUUUUUUUUCCUCGCUCUCUUAGCAUUGCUUCAUACUAAAUGCAUAUCUAACUUCUUGUAUUUGAUGUGUAGGCGUGCCUGAUUGCCUUGUAUAUGUCAUACAUAUUCACAACUAGUCGUUUCGAAUGUUUGAUAAGGUAGUCUAAAAAUUAGUGACAAUAUUAAGAUAAGAGAUUAGAAAUUUAUACAACCUAUUCAUGUACUAUGUAUCAACCAUGUCCUCGAUUUUCAGUCUUGAAAAGGAAGAACUUAGAUAAGUUUUUGGUGAAUUUUUGUUUCCAAACGUGCACUAAUGAUAAAAAAAAUAAAAAAUAAAUAAAUAAAGACUCAUUAUCAAUAAAUCAUAAUUCAAUGAUUUUUGAAGUCUACAUCGUUAUUUAUCCAUCACUAAAAACCUAAUUCGUCUUGACGUUUGGUUUUGCAAGCUCAUAACGCUAUUAUAUUGUUCAAUCUUAUUUAAUACUGCGUAUUAAAGACAUUCAGCGUGUCCGCUGAUUCCCCUUAUGUGAAUUGAAUGGACAACUCAAGAAAAUGAAAAUGGGUUCAGAUAACUUUAAUGUUUCUAUGUACCAAUCCACCAAAUGUAGAACAGCUUGGCUCUACUGUGUAACUACUGCUAGCUGUCUCUCUGACAAACAAUAAGAAGAUAAAUUUUUUGAGAUUUUGCGGGGGAUGAAAAGUCCAGAAUCCAAAGGGCGUGCAUAAUAGAAUUGCUGGUGCCUCAUUUACUAUCAGAAUUUAUUGUCACACUCUAUUAUUUAUAUGAUACUUCACCUACUUUUCUGCCUUUCUCAUUAGUGAAAUUAAUUUCUAUUAACCUAUGCAUCAUUUCUUUCGAACCACCGACUGCAUCUGCAUAAGAGCCUAAAAUUCCCGAGCAAUGUUAGCACUACCGAUGCUUAGCGAUAAUAAGCCCUGUAUCCUACCAUAGAUCUUAUUUGAUUCUCAUUUUUUUUUUAAUAUAUUUUUCUCUUUCUUCUUUUCAAUCACACAUUUUUCAAUAAAAUAAUAAUACACGUAAAUCCAAAAUUUUUCCUUAUUUUUUAACCACACAUAUAAUUAAUUGCAUUUUUUCAAUUUCAUAGGAUCACUACUACUUAGACUCGUGAUAAGCGCCUAUGAUGCUUAGGUAUGGAUAAAUUAUCUGCUUAAUCGACCAAACAGUCAAAUUAAACCGACUUGCAUUGGUUGGAGGGAUGUUGGUUAGGUCGGUUUGCCUGGACGGUUGGACCAACCCAUAAACCUGGGUUUGAGGAGUCGAAUUUAGAAAAAAAAAAAUGAAUUUCAAGGAAAAAAUAUCCUUGAACCCACAACAAACUAACUUGAAUUGGUUUGGAUUGGGUUAUUUUUCUUGUUGGUUCAGUUUCGGGUUAAGAUUUCUUCCAUCCUAAACUGUCAGUUUGCUUGUCGGGUUGGGUCCAAACUUGACUCAUGCCCACCCCUACUGGUCCUACAUACCAUUAUUCAAAAUUCAGGGUUAGGCUGAGUCGGUUUGGUUUGUCGAGUUUAAGGUGAUUUUUCUUCGAAAAUUAAUUUUUUUUGUAAAACAAAUCCCUCAAACAGAGCCAACAUCCCUCCAAAUCGACCCGACUCUUGGGUCAGUUUGACAAUUUAGGUGAGUUAGGCGAGUAAUUUGCCCAUCCUAAUUAUAUGAAAAUUUUCAAAAGUGCUAGCAUUUAGAGUUCGUAUAGAUUUCAAUACCCAAUACUCAAAGAAAACUCAAAACUCCUGUUUGGUGGCCAUUAUUUCGAAAAAAAUAAUGUUCUGAAUAAUGAUUUUUAGGAAAAUAUUUGGUUAAAAUCUAUGAAAACUUUAGAUACUUAUAGCAUCAAUUAAGAUUGGUGUACAAAACUUUUUUUGACAGAAUGUGUACAACCUCUCAUAAAGGUAUGAAUCCCACACGAAUAAAUAAUGUUAAAAAAAUUAACCCACCCUCCUCCCCCCACCCCGAUGUGAGGUGUUGGUAAGAGUUCUGUAAACCCUUAAUCUGUACACCUAUCAUCACCAAUUAUAGCAUAGUCCUUGCAAUAUGGAUAAUUCCCUCAGUACGUGGAACGGUUGACAAGGUUUUUACAUUGUGUUGGAAGCACAUGUAUGGUCUCCUUUUUCAUUUUUUCCCCCCAUCUUCCAAUGAAACUAUGCCAUGUGUUAUAAGUCAAAAAAAUCUGUGAAAACUUUCUGUAUUUAUAGUAUUGUCUUUGCAAUAUGGAAAACUCCCUAUGUUUGGGUGUAGUUAGAUUUGGGUCGAUUUCAACUCCAACACGAGAUCAAAACCAAAUUAAACAGUUUGGAUGAAUUUCAAUCCAAAUCAACUCAUUUUAUCUCUUAAACUGAACCAAAUCGAUUUGGUUUGGUUUGAUUCGAUUAAUCAAUUUGGACUUUUAGUCCAAAUUGAAUUUUUUUAAAAAAAUUGUCCGAGUUUUGGCCCACUUAAAUUAUAAGAACUAAAAUAACUAAAUAAUUUAAUAUUACAAGAACUUUUGACUAAAAAUAAAUUCUGAUUAAUAGAGACAGAUCGACGAAAAAAUUAAAAAUUUUGUUUCUUUUUUAUGUAUUAUGUAAUAUGAUUACUUAAGUAGGAAAAAAUACUAAGUACAUUAUAAUGAGCUUGUAAAAGAAAAUUUUCACUGUUAUUAUUUAUCGACAAUAUCAUAAAUUGGAGGGAAUCUAGAUAUAGUUAUGAGAUUAUGGCUUAUCUUUUGAUUUUUACUUUUUUAAAUUUAAAAAAAAAAAAAAGAAAAAAGAAAAAAGGCAAACAUGUAGUUGGAUUGGGUUGAUUCGAUUAACCAACGAUUUGAAACUUCAAACCAUAACCGAACCGAUUCACAUUGGCUUUGUUUAAAAGAAAAUCAAAUCAAACUAAUUAUAUGUAUCAAACCGACCCGAACCAAUGGUUUUGUUUGAUUGGUUUGAUUGAUUUUUUAAUUUUUUUGCCCAAGCUUAAGUACAGGGAAUGGUUGGCAGGGAUUUUACAAUUGAUAUGUCGAUAACACCUGUAUGGUCCUUUUUUUUUUUUUUUUUUUUCCAUCUUCCAAUGGAGCUGUGCCAUAUUUUAUUUUAAAAAAAUUGUGAAAACUUCUAUACUUUUAGCAUAGUCCUUGCAACCUGGAUAAUUCUCUGAGUACUGGGAAUGGUUGACAGAAUUUUUAUAGGUGAUGUGUUGACGGCACCUAUAUAGUCCUUUUUUUUUCUUUUUUCUCAUUUUCCAAUGAAACUGUCAUGUGUUAUUUGUCAAAAAAAUAUGUGAAAACUUUCUAUACAUAUAGUAUUGUCCUUACAAUAUGGAUAAUUCCCUUAGUACAGAGAAUGAUUAACAGGGUUUUUACAGGUGUUAUGUUGGCAGCACCUGUAUNNNNNNNNNNNNNNNNNNNNNNNNNNNNNNNNNNNNNNNNNNNNNGAUUCCCCCCCCCCCCCCCCCCCCUUUUUUUUGCUCUUUUUUCCAUCCUCCAAUGAGAAUAUGUCAGGUGUUAUCUGUCAAAAAGGUUUUCACUACUAGCAAAUACAUAUGGAAAUAAAAUGGAAUUUGUCUUCUAGUAAAUAUUUGACUUUAAUUAUAAAAUAUAAAGAAUAUGUGAAUCUAUAUAUCGUCGCACCAAAAUAUAUAGGUUUGUUAACACAUUGUAAAAAGACACAGCUGGUAAUGACAUUGCACCUCAUCAAUACGAUGAGUACAAAUGGUGCAAAUUUUCACAGGUUCAAAACAACGUGACAUUACAUGUUCUUGCUCCUUAAUAAUUUUCUCGAUUUGUAAACAAUCAUGUUUUAUCUAUACAUUUCGAGGGAUCCCAAGUAGUAUCUACUUAUCCAUUAGUAUUUAUAAACACUUCCAAAACAUGUUUGACGUGGAAGCUUAAUGUGGCAUGGACAAAAACCACUCAAAAGAAAGUUGGUUUAAAUUUUUUAAGCAAUUUCAAUUCCACCCAUGCCUAUAAAAUUGUGCAUAUAUUCAAAUCUUAAAGAACAAAAACAAACAUGGAGAGAUGUUCCUUUGAGAGACCACAUAUAUUAUACAUUGUGAGAUAUAAAGUAGAUUUAAAUGCACCUGCAAUAAUUCCAACUAACCACACACUUCUUCACCUGUUUAUAUUUACUUCAGUGUCUGAUAAACUCUUUAUAUACAUAGCUCCAUCCCUUUGGAUAAUUCUCAGAACUCACACUCUUUCUUCUCUCAUUUUUGCUCGUUUCUUUUGUGAUUAAGCAAAGGAAAAUGGAGCAGAAGAGAAAUAAGCAUGCUCCAGUGCUCUUGUGGGCUAUUAUGGCUGCAUUGGUUGCUCAAAUUUUAGUCAUUCCCGUUGUGUCUUCAGCCACAUUCGAGGAUCAAAAGACCUAUUACUCUCCGGACCCAACGACCGGAACUCCACCCACAGGUCCUUAGUUUUCCUUUUUUUCUUUCAUUUUUUUUUUUUUUGGGGGAACCAGUAGGAGCACCUAAUAUCUUUAUUUGUAAAGCAGGUUUUCACACUCCUCCAUCACAUGGUGGCGGCCAUAGGACCCCGACACCUUCUCAUGGAGGAGGAAGCUAUGGCGGCACGCCACCAGCUUGCAACUGCGGGAACCCACCAAAUGGAGGGCACCACCAUACUACUCCUUCUCCUCCCACCGGAGGUGGUGGUGGGUACUAUAACCCCCCUCCAAGCUCUAGCCCAACUACACCCACUAUUGUGAGUCCACCCACCAUUUUAAGUCCUCCAACCACUCCAAUCGACCCUGGAACUUCCAGUCCUCCAAUCUACCCCGGAACUCCAUCGAUUCCAUCACCUCCAUCUGGAGGAGGAAGCUAUGGCUGCACGCCACCAGCUGGAAACUGCGGAAACCCCCCAAGUGGAGGGCACCACCAUACUACUCCUUCUCCUCCCACCGGAGGUGGUGGUGGGUACUAUACCCCCCCUCCAAGCUCUACCCCAACUACACCCACCAUUGGGAGUCCACCCACCAUUUUAAGUCCUCCAACCACUCCAAUCGACCCUGGAACUUCCAUUCCUCCAAUCUACCCCGGAACUCCAUCGAUUCCAUCACCUCCAUCUGGAGGAGGAAGCUAUGGCUGCACGCCACCAGCUGGAAACUGCGGAAACCCCCCAAGUGGAGGGCACCACCAUACUACUCCUUCUCCUCCCACCGGAGGUGGUGGUGGGUACUAUACCCCCCCUCCAAGCUCUACCCCAACUACACCC